RNAcentral lists this long non-coding RNA (59968 nucleotides) under Hordeum vulgare. Its description in RNAcentral is "long non-coding RNA (HVUL_LNC007611)". The record is from RNAcentral. Lineage: Eukaryota; Viridiplantae; Streptophyta; Magnoliopsida; Poales; Poaceae.
GGAGGUGAUGUGUCUUCUCCUUCACCGUUGAGCUUGCUCUGCGGCCUCGCUUCGCUGCUCGUCUUGCUGUGGGCGGUCUCCCGGGCCGCUGAGACAUGCUGGCUGAGGCCACGGCGGCUCAGCCGGGCGCUCCGGGCGCAGGGCCUCGGCGGCACGGCGUACCGAUUUCCCGCCGGGGACCUCGCAGAGAACGGACGGCUCAACGAGGAGGCUCGGGUCCAAGCCCAUGCCGCCGUGCCACGACAUUGUGCCCCGUGUGGCGCCGCACCUCCUCCAACACCAUCAAGGACACGGUAGGGUAAUUUUGUUGUUCCUCUAGUUGUAANNNNNNNNNNNNNNNNNNNNNNNNNNNNNNNNNNNNNNNNNNNNNNNNNNNNNNNNNNNNNNNNNNNNNNNNNNNNNNNNNNNNNNNNNNNNNNNNNNNNAGUCCUUACGGGGAAAUGCCCCUUUGUGAUUCCAUCGAGCAAUGGUAGUUCGCUACUGCUCCGGACACAUUGGUUGACCGGCAUGUGUCCUUCUUAGCUGUUGUGUCUGUCCCUUUGGGAAAUGUCACGCGUAUGUAAUGGAGUCCUUGUAGCGUGCUAUGACUCGUCUACAUUCUUAUUGAAUUGUGGUUUAUUUUACUCGCUUGCAUUAGUUGACUAUUUAACAAAUGAAGAAUUUAUAACAUAUGACGAACGCGCAUGGAUUUAUGAAAGUUUAGGAUGAUGGUGGGGGGGUACGGGUCGUCCCGUGAUGUGUGGGUACACGCCCGCAGUAAGGGACUGCUUUUGCCGAGUCCAAUUGUAAAUGAUGUUAAAAUAAGAAUGUAUCCUCCCCCUCCGAGUUGUUGUCGGUUUCACCAAGUGAGUUGGUGUUGGAGUGUGUGCAUCAUAAUUAUGUAGACACCAGGCAUGCACUCRCAUGCGGAUCAAGGCACACAGGGGGAUANNNNNNNNNNNNNNNNNNNNNNNNNNNNNNNNNNNNNNNNNNNNNNNNNNNNNNNNNNNNNNNNNNNNNNNNNNNNNNNNNNNNNNNNNNNNNNNNNNNNCACUGUCGUCCUCUCCUCCUCCUCCUUCUCCUUCUUCUCAUAUUCUUCUUUCUUCUUUCUUUUUCAUUUUUUCCAUUUUUUUUCUCCUUUUUGUUUGGAGCUAAAUUACGUAAUUAUGCUYWYUGKMGCUAAAUGGGCUAAUUAUUCCAUUUUAGAGGAAAACAAGCUAAGUAUAUAAUAUUCAUGAGCUAACCAAGGUUCUUAUGCCAUUUUGAGGUUAUUAUGGCAUUUUGGAGCUAAAUGGGCUAAUUAUGUUAUUGUUGGGGAAAUUAAAGCAAGGAUAAUAUGAAAGAGGAGAAGAAAGAGGAGGAGUAGGAGAAGAAGAAGAAAUAAAGAAGAAGGAGGAGAAGGAGGAUGAGAAGGACUAGAAGGUCCUUGGCCUUCUCGUCCUUCUCCUCCUCCUCCUCCUCCUUCUCCUCCUCCUCCUCCUCCUCCUUCUCCUUCUUCUCUUCUUCUUCUUCUUCUUCUUCUUCUUCUUUCUUUUAAGUUUUCCUAUUUCUUCUUCCUUUUGUUGGAGCUAAAUUACCUAAUUAUGUCUUCUUGGAGCUAAAUGCGCUAAUUAUCCCAUUUUAGAGGAAAACAAGCUAAGUAUAUAAUAUUCAUGAGCUAACCAAGGUUCUUAUGCCAUUUUGAGGUUAUUAUGGCCUUUUGGAGCUAAUGGGCUAAUUAUGUCAUUGUUGGGGAAAUUAAAGCAAGGAUAAUAUUAAAGAGGAGAAGAAAGAGGAGGAGGAGGAGGAGAAGAAGAAAUCAAGAAAAGGAGGAGAAGGAGGAGGAGGAGGAGGAGCRAGGAGGAGAAGGUWGGCSUCCUCCUCCUCSWCASUSCUCUCUCUCUCUCUUCUUCUUCUUCUUCUUCUUCUNNNNNNNNNNNNNNNNNNNNNNNNNNNNNNNNNNNNNNNNNNNNNNNNNNNNNNNNNNNNNNNNNNNNNNNNNNNNNNNNNNNNNNNNNNNNNNNNNNNNAUAUGAUAUUCGGAUGAUACUAGUUAGAUCGAGAUAUUGAACAAUUAAGCAUAGCCAAAGAAGAAUGCAUCUUACGAGAUAUGAAGAAGAUUUUCUUUAUUAAUGUUUGUUCAUCCCUAUUCAUUGCACUCAACCAUAUCUUGGUUAUGCUAUUAUAACUAGAUCUUCUUGUGACAGUUUGUUGAAUACACAAUAAACCUUUGGAGUACGUUCUUAUAUUGGAUAUGCGUCGUUACAACUCCCUAUCAAUUAAUAUCGAUCCUCAUGACUAUAUUAUUCUAGGUUAAGACCGCGAACCCUUAGAUUUGAACAACCAUUACUAGAAUUGAACACCCAUUCGUAAGGUUUGCAACACUGAUAAGCCUAUAGGUCCACAUGCUUCUUAGUAAGUUCCCGUUAUACAACCUAGAUUGUUUGUCGUGCUCCGAAAAGUUAGGUUUUUAACAUCCAAUUUCUACCAAAACCCCAUUGUAUCACCUCAUGUGCAUGUUUCUAUUAACCGUAAUACUAUUUAAUACUANNNNNNNNNNNNNNNNNNNNNNNNNNNNNNNNNNNNNNNNNNNNNNNNNNNNNNNNNNNNNNNNNNNNNNNNNNNNNNNNNNNNNNNNNNNNNNNNNNNNGUCAUCAUAUAAACUCCUUGAACCCAACAGAUGGACUUCAAGAACUGCCUAUGGACAGAUCCUAUAAAUAUAACUUAAGGCAACCAUUAGUCCAUAGGAAUUGUCAUCAAUUACCAAAACCACAUAUGGAGAUAUAUGCUCUAACAAAGAUGAAUGGAGAUAUUCUAACUUUCGCUGGACUCGAUACAGUGAUUUUUGGUACUGGACGUGCCAUAUUCACCCUCCCAAGUGGUACACAAGUGAUGAUAGAGGACUCAUCACGUACCCUGAUCAGUUAUCGAGAUAUCCGUCAGAAUGGUUUUCAUAUUGAAACCCAUGAAGACAACAAAGAGGAGUAUCUACUCUUUACUAAAGAUCACGGAUAUGGCAAAAAGAUACAUGAGAAAAUUCCUUCUCUAUCGUCUGGUUUGUACUAUACGUACAUCAAACCCGUGGAACAUGUUGCAUACAAAGUAAUUUUUCAGAAUGUUGACGCAUUCCAAACUUGGCAUGAUCGCCUAGGCCAUCCCGGAAUCGGGAUGAUGAGAAAAAUUACUAGCAAUUCCAUUGGUCAUAAUUUGCUUGAGUCAAAAUUUCCUCAAUCUUCUGAUUUUGUGUGCACAUCUUGUGCCACGGGAAAGCUAAUUUUGAGGCCCUCGCACCACGAAAUACAAGCUGAACCACUUCAGUUCCUUGAACGUAUUCAAGGAGACAUUUGUGGUCCCAUUCAGCCAUUAUCUGGACCUUUCUAGUAUUUCAUGGUUCUGAUUGACGCAUCUACACAAUGGUCACAUGUGUGUCUUCUAUCCACACGAAACCAUGCAUUUGCCAAGAUAAUGAGGCAAGUCAUUAAGUUGCAAGCCCAUUAUCCUGAAAGUCGAAUUAAGACAAUUCGAAUGGACAAUGCUGCAGAAUUCUCCUCACGUGCUUUCAAUGAUUAUUGGAUGGCUUUGGGGAUUGAAGUUCAGCACUGUGUUCCAUAUGUCCAUCCACAAAAUGGUUUGGCUGAAGCAUUAAUUAAGAGGAUUAAACUCAUUGCAAGACCUUUGUUGACGAAUUGCAACUUGCCAACCUCUUUUUGGGGUCAUGCACUUUUACACGCCGCUGACUUGAUACAAUUGAGGCCAACUGCAUAUCACAGUUCUUCCCCUCUGGAAUUGGUACGUGGAAAUCCUCCAAACAUUUCCCAUCUGCGUAAGUUCGGAUGUGGUGCAUACAUACCGAUCUCACCACCACAGCGGACAUCUAUGGGCCCACACAGAAAGUUGGGGAUCUAUGUGGGGUACAAAUCACCAUCAUUAUCAAGUACGUGGAACCCCUAACUGGAGAUCUGUUCAUAGCCCGUCACGCUGAUUGCAUAUAUAAUGAGGAACAUUUUCCGGCAUUAGGGGGAGAUUUCAAGUACUAGAAAGAAUGCCUAGAAAUUGAUUGGAAUGCUCAUGCCAUUUCAUCCUCUGAUCCACGUACCCAUGAGACCGAACUUCAAGUUAGGAAGAUCAUUAAUUUGCAACAUCUUGCAAAUAAUCUGCCAGAUUAAUUUACUGAUAUGGAAGGUGUUACAAAAUCCUUAAAUCCGGCCAGAAACGCGCUAGAAAGAGUGGAGGUACCAAUAAAAACCACUCAACUCCCUGUUCCUAAAAAGAGGGGGAGUAGUAUGGCCUUUGACCUGGAGCUAGCUUCUAGCAAACAACAAAGGAAAUCAAGGAGAAAAUCCUCGGAGUUAGUAAAUGCAGGUCAACUCAACGUUGACAAACACCUGAUGGGCAGUUCACACCCAGUGGAAGGGCAACCUCCACAACCCAGCUCCAGUGUGCACAAACUGGGUGGAACAUCGGAAUGCCCAGACUCAACCGUAUUGGGAAAUCACGAACAGUCUCUAGGGGUGCAGGAAAUUUCCGUCAACUAUGUUGAUUCUGGUGAAUCAUUUAACUGUACGACUACGACUGUCGACAUAUAUUUUGCUGAAAAGAUUGCAGAUACCCUUAUCACUGAUCAUUAUCCAAGGUCUAUUGUCAAGUGCCAAAGGCGCUCCGACUGGCCUAAACGGAAGAAUGCAAUCCAAGCAGAAAUUGCCUCGCUGAACAAAAGGAAGGUAUUCACUGAAGCAAUACCUACACCUCCCAAUGUUUUCCCUGUGGGAUUCAGAUGGGUUUUCCUCCGGAAAUGGAAUGAGAACAAUGAGGUGGUGAGAUAUAAAGCAAGGCUCGUAGCACAAGGUUUUACGCAGAAACCCGGCAUUGAUUUCAAUGAGACAUACUCUCCAGUAAUGAGUGGAACCACUUUCCGAUAUCUUAUAUCUAUGGCAGUACAAAAUCGUCUAUCCAUGCAGUUGAUGGACGCCGUGACCGCAUAUAUUUACGGGUCACUAGAUUCAUACAUAUAUAUGAAGGUUCCUGACGGAAUCUCUGUCCUGAAUAACAAUGCAAAACGCAACAUGUAUUUUGUAAAGCUGAAUAAGUCAUUGUAUGGCUUAAAACAGUCGGGACAGAUGUGGUACAACCGACUAAGUGAGUUCCUUCUUCUGAAAGGUUACUCCAAUAGUGAUGAUUGCCCAUGUGUCUUCAUCAAGAAGUCCUCUACAGGAUUUUGGAUCAUUUCUGUGUAAGUUGAUGAUCUCAACAUCAUUGGCAACACACCAUACAUUGAUGAAGCACACAAUCAUCUAAAGAUGGAAUUUGAGAUGAAGGAUUUGGGUAAAACCAAAUUUUGCUUAGGUAUUCAACUUGAGCACCUUCCCUUAGGAAUCAUGGUACACAAAGCUGCCUAUAUCCAGAAAAUAUUGGAGAAGUUCAAUAUGGACAAAUCCUAUCCAUCUAAAACUCCUAUGGUGGUUCGAUCUCUAGACGUAGAGAAAGAGCCGUUCAGACCGAGGGAUGAUGGAGAAGAGGUGUUGGGACCUGAAGUUCCAUAUCUCAGUGCUGUUGGAGCGCUUAUGUAUCUUGCAAAUUGCACAAGACGUGAUAUUGCAUUUGCAGUGAAUCUACUUGCUAGACACAGCGCAGCUCCCACCAAACGUCGUUCGUCUGGAGUGAAGAAUAUCUUUCUAUAUCUCCAAGGCACAAAGGGGUCUAGGCUUAUUUCCAGCUUCAGUGCAAUCUGGACUCUGAUAUGAUUGGGUAUGCAGAUGCCAGUUAUUUGUGUGAUCCCCAUAAUGCCAGAUCUCAGACAGGUAUUGUGUUCCUACAUGGUGGUACAACUAUAUCAUGGAAGUCUUCAAAACAAACUCUAGUGGCUACAUCUACCAAUCAUUCUGAAAUAAUUUCAUUAUUUGAAGCAUCAUGUGAAUGUGUAUGGCUUCGCAGAAUGAUAAACCACAUACAACAGUCAUGUGGAAUUGGUUCAAUUCAAUCACCCACCAUUAUCUAUGAGGAUAAUGCGGCAUGUGUUGCACAUAUGCAAACAGGAUACAUCAAGAGUAAUAUCACUAAGCAUAUUUCUCCUAAAUGGUUUUUCCCCCACAAUCUUCAGAAAAGAGGGGAAAUAAGCAUUCUGCAAGUCAAAUAAUGCGACAACCUUGUUGAUUUAUUUACUAAGUCUCUACCAAACUCAACAUUCCAGAAAUAUGUUCAUGUAAUUGGUAUGCGGCAACUUAGAGACUUGCAGGCAACAAGAGGAGUCUCUUCUUGAGAUAUCCUUUUUCAAUAACAUCACAUUAUGCUAUUUUUAUGAGUUUAUGUUUCAGGUUCUCAUCAAGUUUUCAUGAAGAACUUUUUGAAGGAGAAUCUUUACAAGAUGAUAGCUGGAGAAUCUUUUCAAGAUAAUAGCCCUACCUGGAUGAUCGUGAGACGACUCUACAUGAUCAAGCGUAGAUUAGGGGGAGUAUUGUGAUUAGUUACAAUAUGUAAUUAGGGAGGAAUCUCCUCUUCCUAAACCUUCGUGCGGUUACACCCGCACGGGCGCUUCUUAUCCUAGAACCGUCGUGUCCUCCAGGACCGACGCCUCUCCAAAGAGUCGGGACUCUUCAGGAGAUAUAUAUACUUCCUGUAAUCAUCAAUGUAUGGGACGCAAUCAGUUUGAUUCAAAACAGUUUGGACAUAGGGAUGGCACCCGCAGGUAUGGAUACGGGUGGAGCCUUCCCAUACCCUUAUCCGUCCCGUCAGAUAUUACCCAUCACCUUUAUCUAUAUCCAUCAACGGGUAUAUUUUUUUCAUAUCCGUUACCGACAGGGUAGAUGGGUACCUGCGGGUAAAAUUAUCCAUAUUUAUAAAACAUCAAUUUAAAUAACUUAUAAUUAUAAACUGCAUUGUAUCAUAUAGUUUACAAAGAUAGAUUAUAACUGUAAAACAACAUCAUAUAGUCAUAAACAACAACACAUGGGCAUACACUUUCAAUUCAUAAAUUAUUGACAUAGUGUAGAUUGUAGAGAUAAUUUUGAGUUUACAUAGAUUUCAUAUGGGUACAUGGGUAUAUGGGUAUGGAUUAUAUGAUCCCAUACCCAUAUCCACUCUACCCGAUGUGUUUCAGAUUUUCCUAUUUAUAUAUAUCCAUGGAUAAAUUUUUGUCACAUACCCGUACCCUUACCCUAAUAGGGUUUUUACCCACAGGGUAGUGGGUAAUGGGUAUCCAUUGUCAUCCCUAUUUGCACACAAUUCAGAUUUUUAGACAACGGGUUUUAGUUAUUUUCUAAACAAAAGUUAUUAAGAUUCUUCUUCUUAUCUAAGGCCAUUAUUUUUCCUUAAACGUCCGCGGGCGUAUGCCGAGACAACACCAAAUGACCCAUGCGCAUCCAUCAUAUGGCAUAAAUUUAUCAUCUGUUCAACAGUCUGAUAAUGCAAGAGAUUAAAAUAAACCACAAUUCAAUAAAUUUCAUCACAACUUUUCAGAAAAAAAUCCAUACAUGCCAAAAUUAAAUACAAUAACUCAUAGAUAGGCUAUACGAAAUUGAAUAAUUAGGCAUUGGCGAUGGAAGUCAUGGCCGCACUCUCUUUGUGCACACUACAAAAAAUAUGCUAAUACACGACACUAAGUUUUCGUCGCUACAUCGUCACGGUUUUUAUUUUACGACGAUCUUACAACGAAAAAUGAAGCGUCAAAAACUAACAACAACAACGUUUUGAUCGAAACCGUCGUAACUUCUACGACGAUUCCUGGGUCGUCAUAACCUUUACGACGAUCCUAAAUCAUCGUUGGCAAUCUAACCCAGUCCUACGUGGCAAAAUCACGACAAAAUCAAAACGUCAUGGUUGAAAUCAGCCCAACACAUUUCAAUUGAUCACAUGGGCUGGUUUUAUUUUUAUAGGCUUCUUUUAUUAGGCGUCUUUUUGGGCCUUAGCCUAUUUACAGCCACUUCUAAUAUUUUUUUUGAUUUUUUUGUAUCAUUAUAAUUUGGGCCAUGGCCUUUUAGUGCCCAAAUAAAUUUGGUCCAAUUUCAAUUUUGGCUUUUUUUCAUUUUUGAAUUCAGCAACCUUUUGUUCCAGAACUUGGUUUCAUUUCUAUUUGUUAUAACUUUUCAACCUCAUUAUUUGUCCAAUAUUAAAUCCAACACUACUUCAUAUUCAAAUCAAGAAAACGCCAAGUGGAAUUAAAAUCAUGCAUCAUAUAACAUCACAUGAUAAAUCUCCCAGGUUUACAUAACACAAUAACUCAUCUCAUGAAUACAUUUCCUUACAUAGGAAUAUAGCAAGAACGGACAGAAUUGCACAAUAGAACAAUGUCACAUCUACUAACAAUAGAGUUCAUUCCACUCUCCUAUAAGACAUAGGUUCAAUUUUUUUUAUGUUGUGUUGAUUUGAAUGUCCCAAGUAGGCAUCAUCGACAUCUUCUCACCACUUUCCUAGCAACAGAAAAAGAGACAAAACAAAAAACAUUAAACCGGAUAGGAGCUUCAGUAGCAGAGCAAACCAAAUUGAAUCAAACAUAGACCGGCAUUUGCAUAUGGAUAUUUUUGUUUGACUCGUUUACUGCUCCUACCAUUAGUUCUAAGAACAACAUUUCUGAAUCUACUAGUACUUAACAAAAAUUACAUGAAUACAUUUAGUUACUUGAGUAUACUGACAUACAUGGUCACUCUAAGAUAAAUUGCACAAAAAAAAUAUUCAGGAAAACUUUGAAGGAAAACAAGUAUGAUGCACCAGUUGAUCGUAGAAUCUGUCAAUGUUCAUUAGACCGACUUGAUACACAGUUGCGGGAAAGACAUAUACCUGGAAUAAAUACAAGUAGUGACAGAAAAAAUGCAAUGCAUGAGUCAACAUUAGAUUAGUGAAUGAUCCACUUCCACGCACAGAAACACAAUACAUUUGCUCUGAACAGAGAAUAUUAGAUCAAAAGCACUCACAAUAUUUCUUGAGGCACUCCGAUCUCUUGCAGUGGCACCCCUUCGUGUGCUUGCACACAAGAGGGCCUUCUGCUACUUUGAAAUGGGAUGUAAAGGGAAUGAAUUUCAUACAUGACAUGAUAAGGCAAACAUAUUGGAAUACAAGUCGGAUUUUGGCUUGUUUCUCACAUAACUAUUGACUUAAGCCCUUAACCCAUGGUAUGGGCUCAGCAUCAAUGAUUAUUGCUAGCAGAACGCCAUGGUCAAAUUUGUCAAUUGAGCAAUGUACCCAAAAGGAAGUCAGGUAAUGGCAUCCAUGAUUAAUUUCUGACAUAGGGAACAAAAAUUCUAGAUGACAAAGGGGGAUUUAAGUUUUAUGUCAUUGUUGAUGCACCAAUCUUGCUUAGACAAAAUUCAAAAACUAUUACACAUAUAAUAAAUAAAGAUGUGUCACUUAGUCUAAUGAUAUUUGAGUCUUGACCUCAAAACAUUAUUUGCACCGUAAAUUUACAGGCCACUUCAUGUGUUUCUUCAUCGUGGUUAAUUUUUUCAUGCAGACAAUAAAACAAGCAAGCAAGCAAAUAAGGUUUUAAGAUGACAUAAAUAGCCAAGCCCUUCAGCAACUAGAGAACUGGAGGAAAACACAAGUCAUUCUUGAAACAUAUACAUUGUGGUCUACCUCACAGUUUUGGGCUGCAUGUGGAGGGAUGUUCUUCAAAUUUUUAGGGUCRWUAAAAGRACCMAYUAAASRAUUCCUUUUAAAAUUUAGUACAAACAAUACAAAUAAGACAAUACCUGUCCUGCAGCUUCUAUGUACGAAACAAUUAAUUAAUUAAACUAAGUUUUUAGUUAGUUGUCUAAAACUUUAACCCGGGAUUGACGNNNNNNNNNNNNNNNNNNNNNNNNNNNNNNNNNNNNNNNNNNNNNNNNNNNNNNNNNNNNNNNNNNNNNNNNNNNNNNNNNNNNNNNNNNNNNNNNNNNNUAUUACUAAGUUAAUAGUAAGUAGUAGUCUAGUACUAAMUAAUAUAUAUAUAUAUAUAUAUAUAUAUAUAUAUAUAUGAUGUGAAAUUAAAUAWAUAAACAAAAAAACAGGUACUAUAUGGGCUCUUUGCCGUCUGCCAGCUGAUGGCAAAGACCUGUGCCAUCAGCUGGCAGAUGGCAAAGGUGCCACAUGGCACCCAGCUGUGCAUCCUGGGGUGUCUAUAUAGGCUCUUUGCCGUCUGCCUCCUGGGUGGGCAGACGGAAAAGAAGAGGGCACAGAGGAGGGGGGAGGAGGAGGCAGACGACAAAGAGUGGAGGGGGAGGGGAGGAGGAGGAGGCAGACGACAAAGAAUAAGGGGGAGCAGAUGGCAAAGAAUAAGGGGUAGGCAGACGGCAAAGCCUCUGUUAACCCCUAACGGAGGCAACGCCUGGCAGCUGCCGUCUCGAGCACUUUGCCGAUUGCUCCUAUGGAAAGCUGACGGCAAAGAGCUUUGCCAUCCGCUUUGGGGGAACAGACGGCAAAGAAGGUCCUAUGCCGUCGUAGGCUGACGUAGAAAUCUUGCCGGCCGUGAGAAUCUUUGCCGUUUGUGGUAUUGUCUUUGCCGUCUGUGGAAUUGUCUUUGCCGUCUGUGAUGGCAGACGGCAAAGAAGCUGAUUCCUGUAGUGUUCAGUCCGAUGUUGUACGCCGACAGUUACCUCUUUUGUUGGAUCUGGAUGUGAUGGGGGCCAGGGGCGAUGGAAAAGAGCUGAGAAAAGCAGUGUGUGAAUUAGUCUACUAAUUCAUUUCUUUACAGGUUUGUGCUAGCGGUGCCUUGAUUAUGAAGAUCUGUAUACUCUUGUAUGCUAUGGUUGAUUUGUUGCCAUGCCUUUUUUUGUGAAUUCCUGAGUUGGAUACCCAAUUCAUUUCCAUACCCUUACUGAUCUAGGUGUGUUUCUUCCCCUGGACAGGCGCAGAAUGAUCCACUGAGUCGUUGUUCUGCUGCAAAAAUGAUAGCAGUUAUAUCGUGAGUUUUCUCGCUUUAUCGUUAGUUUUAGCGCUUACACUUUGGUUUGUCACUUUCUUGUGGCUAUGGUGAUAUGAUUCCACGAUGACUAGGAGUUGAACUUGCAUGCUAACACCGAUUAAACAAAACACUACAUGUUUGUUGCAUGCUGCGUGAAAAUGAAUUUUGACUUGUAGUGGUAGACGGUUAGUGCAACUUAGCAACCAUUGUUGGUCUGACAAGUAUUAAUAUUCACAAGUAAAUUGGUUUGGUUGCUUGCUCGCAAGCUCAAAUUUAUGCUUCCUCGUGCACCUCCAGUGAUCCCGCACCCCUUCUGUUUCCAAAUGUUAGUCCCUUUAAUAGGAAUAGUAUAUUCCAGUGAAUGAGACCAACUCCAUGUUCUCCCUACCCUUUUACUCCUUAUAUAUGAUAUGGUUUACAAGUAAUAGAACAUAUGUAGCAAUUCUUGUUUAUGUACUCCUCUAAAUCUUCCGCGUUUCAUUUGGUUACCUAAUUUUAACUGUAACAUCGCUAAUGAAUUGAUGAUCAUAAUUCUACUAUAGUCUUCAACUGAAAUUAUGUUGGUUUAUGGUGUCAAUGACAUUGGAUGUCACUACUUUUCCACUUGUACUCAUGAAAUGACGGUUCCGUAACAUUAUAUAUGCUCUGUAGGACUACAUUCCCCUAUCUCUCCCCUCUCGCAGGAACUGUAGCGACAGAGUGGGGUGGUACAGUGUUGGCGACAAGGAGGAAGAGAGACGGCCGCAUCAAUUUUUCAAGUAAGGGAGCACCCACUAGGCUGAAAUCCCCCAUGGCGAACACACAAAGAGGCCAAUAACAGUGCUCGCAAACCUGCUGCCGUUAUACCAAUUUUUUUUUGGUGAUUCUGGACAACCAAAUCAAGGAUAAUAGAAAGUAAUCAUAAAUUAAUGUCCAGCGUCAUCUUGCUUUUACCUUUCUAGAUUUUCUACUCGUGUUCCUUUUUUGCAUGUUUUCUGAUUCAAUCUCCCAUGUAUAUGAUUUAUUUUGUCCACUUCCAUUAAUAAGUCAGGCAUGCAUCCGCAUCUUUCUGAGAUAAUUGCUAUGGUCUAAUUCUCAGUAGCCUAUGUUUUUGACUUAUGUAGUCUUUACUUUUAAAUUAGUAAUUACGGUUCCCUAACUUCGGACCUAAAACUUAAGUAAAAAGUUAGGUUAAUUGGUACUUACCUAAUUGGUUACUUCCUAAUUNNNNNNNNNNNNNNNNNNNNNNNNNNNNNNNNNNNNNNNNNNNNNNNNNNNNNNNNNNNNNNNNNNNNNNNNNNNNNNNNNNNNNNNNNNNNNNNNNNNNUGUNAUACAACUAGGUUAAGUUUUUUUUAGUUAUACCUAAGGAUGACUAACAAGGUUGUGCAUGCCUCCAGCGACUUCCUUCUUAUGGACGUGGUGCAGCAUCUCGGAGUUGGAAUAUACGCUUUUGAUGAGAUGGUCAAAGCUUUUUGGKUUUUGUACAAGGUUCAUGAGAAACUUGUAUUUUCAAAGAAGUGCGUGGGAGCACUAUAGAAUUUCUGAUAAGUAUAUGUGGUUGACAUAUUGUUGAUCAGAAGUAAUGUAGAAUUUCUAUAAAGCAUAAGGGUUGUUUGAAAGGGGGUUUUCAAAGGAAGACCUGGAAAGAGCUACUUGAACAAUGAGCAUCAAGAUCUAUGGAGAUAGAUAAAAAUGCUAAACAUAACUUUCAAAUGAAAUGCAUGCCUUGACAAGUUUUUGAAUGAGUUCAAAAUAGAUCAGCAAAGAAGGAGUUCUUGGCUGUGUUGUAACAUGUGAAUUUGAGUAAGCCUCAAAAGCCCGACCACGGCAGAAGAAAGAGAAAGGACGAAGGUCGUCCCCUAUUCCUUAAUCGUAGACUCUAAAGUAUGCCAUGUUGUGUGCCGCACCUGAUGUGUGACUUACCACAAGUCUGUUAAGAGGUACAGAGAGUGAUACAUGAUUUAAUCACUGAACAACGAUCAAAGUUAUCCUUAGUAACUAAUGGACUAAGGAAUUUUUCUCGAAUAUGGAGGUGGUUAAAGAAUUCGUCGUAAAGGGUUACGUCGAUGCAAGCUUUUACACUAAUCCGAAUAACAAUGAGUAGUAAAACGGAUUCGUAUAGUAGAGUAGAUAUUCGAAGUAUUUCCGAAUAGCACGUAGUAGCAGCAUCUAUAAGAUGACAUAAAUAUUUGUAAAGCACACACGGAUCUAAAAGAUUCAGAACCGUUUACUAAAACCUCUAUCACGAGCAAGACGUGAUCAAACCCCAGAACUAUAUGGGUGUUGGAUUCUUUAAAAUCACAUGGUGAUGUGUACUAGAUUAUUGACUCCAGUGCAUGUGGGAGAGUGUUGGAAAUAUGCCCUAGAGUCAAUAAUAAAUUAGUUAUUAUUAUAUUUCCUUGUUCAUAAUAAAUGUUUAUUAUCCAUGCUAGAAUUGUAUUGAUUGGAAACUCAAAUACAUGUGUGGAUACAUAGAGAACACACUGUCCCUAAUGAGCCUCUAGUUGACUAGUUCGUUGAUCAAAGAUGGUCAAGGUUUCCUGGCCAUAGGCAAGUGUUGUCACCUGAUAACGGGAUCACAUCAUUAGGAGAAUCAUGAGAUGGAAAAGACCCAAAUAAUAACCGUAGCAUGUGAUCGUGUUAUUUUGUUGCUAUUGUUUUCUACGGGUCAAGUAUUCAUUCCUGUGACCAUGAGAGCAUGUAACUUACUGGCACUCAAGGAAUACCUUCUGUGUAUCUAACGUCGCAACGUAACUGAGUGACUAUAGAGGUGCUCUACAGGUAUCUCCAAAGGUGUCCGUUGAGUUAACAUGGAUCAAGACUGGGAUUUCUCACUCCAUGUGACGGAGAGGUAUCUCGGGGCGCACCCGGUAAUACAACAUCUCAUAUAAGCCUUGCAAGCAAUGUGACUCAAGUGUGAGUCACGGGGAUCUUGUAUUACGGAAUGAGACUUGUCGGUAAUGAGAUUGAAAUAGGUAUAGGGAUACCGACGAACAAAUCUCGGGCAAGUAACAUACCGAAGGACAAAGGGAAUGUUAUAUGAGAUUAUAUGAAUCCUUGGCACAGAGAUUCAGCCGAUAAGAUGUUGGUAGAAUAUGUAGGAUCCAAUAUGGGCAUCGAGGUCCCGCUAUUGGAUAUUGACCGAGGAGUGUCUCGGGUCAUGUCUACAUAGUUCUCGAACCCGCAGGGUCUGCACACUUAAGGUUCGAUGGUGUUUUAGUAUAGUUGAGUUAUAUGUGUUGGUGACUGAAGGUUCUUCGGAGUCCCGUAUGAGAUCACGGACGUCAUGUGGCUUUCCGGAAUGGUCCGGAAACGAUAUAUAGGAAGUUGGUGUUUGGAUUCCGGAAAGUUUUCGGGCAUUGCCGGCAGAGUAGCGGGACUGACGAAUGAGUUCCAGGGGCCCACUGGGUGGGCCCACCACAGUCCAAGGGGUCCACGUGGGUUUAUUGGAUGUACAAUAAGGUAUAAUGGGCUGACAAAGUGAAAGUGCGUUAUAUCGACUAGAGGGGGGGUGAAUAGGAGAUUUUUAGAAUUUCAUCACUGAGGAAAUUCCUUUUGAGGAAAUUCCUCACAGAUGACUAACUUGCACCAGAAACAGCAAAUAGUAAGGGGUGCAAAGUAUCACAACAGCAGUUUCAAGAUGAGGAAAUGAAAAGCAGUUUGCACAAUACGCAGGCACAGAGAAAACAGGUGAGGAUUAACUCGCGUGAAGAAUUUGGAGUUGAGGAAUUUCAGAGAAAGUCUUUAGCAAAUUCUUCAAAGAAUGACAAUUAAAAUCUUCAACAUACAAUAUUGAGGAAUUGAAAGAGUUGAAGAAAUAGAACCUGUAUCACAGUGAAGACAUUGGUUGAUGAACCAGUUCCAACUGAUGUGACAGUUGUACGUCUGGUUUGGAGCGGCAAGGUAUUGAAACCAAAAGACACACAGUCCCGGGACACACAGUCCCUACCGUAUUCUCCUUGAGCUAAGGACACACAGUCCUCGCCCAACACUCGUGGGAAGUCUUCAGGGCAGACUUCCAAACCCUCACAAACUUGGUCACCCACAGAUCCACAAUUGACUACUGGAUUGCUCUAGACCAUGACGCCUAACCGUGUGGACGAUGCACAGUCCUCAAAGGUAAAAGGCUUCAGUCCCACAUAGGAACAAAUUCUUCAGUGAUGAUCAAUCACUUGGUUUUUGGUUUGGUGUUUGGUGUUUGGUGUUUGGGGUAUUUCCUCACUGAUGAUUUACUCUCGAAGACUCUCAGGAAUUUGGGUUUGCUCUAAGUGUCAAGUGUCAGUUUCUCACAGAGCAGCCAACCAGCUAAUGGUUGUGGGGGGCUUAUUUAUAACCUGGGAGCAUCCCAACAUGAUUUGACAUUAAUGCCCUUUACUAAUAUGACCGUUGGUGUGGAUAAGAUCAGUGAUGUGGUCCGAAUUGCGGUAACGGUCAGGACCCUCAACUGUGAGAGUCCUCACGUCUCUCAUAUUCCUCACUUGAGGGUUUUGGUAGGAUUAGGCUUGGGUUGAGCAUGAUGAGGAAAUUCAUUCCGAAGUAUUGCCUCGACCCCCUUUAACAGUACGGUGUUCCUAUGACUCAAGAGUGAAGAAAAUAAAAUAGAAAUAAUAAAUCUUCAUGCUUCAAAGUCUUCAGAUUGAUUUUCUUCAGGACACACCAAAUUCCUCAUCUUCAAUAUCUUCAUGAGUAAUAUCAAUUUCAUUGCAAUUUCUUCGCAGUUCAAUUCUUCAGCUUCAGACCAAUUUCUUCGGUCGAAGAUAUACAUUUUAGGGUUCGAUAUUCAUCGAAUAUUUCAAACUCCUCAGCGACUUAUAGAUCAUGUGUACACUCAUGAACACAUUAGAUACUUNNNNNNNNNNNNNNNNNNNNNNNNNNNNNNNNNNNNNNNNNNNNNNNNNNNNNNNNNNNNNNNNNNNNNNNNNNNNNNNNNNNNNNNNNNNNNNNNNNNNAUAUAUAGGCAAAUGUAAAUCAUCAAGUGUUUUGAAGAUUUUUGACUAACUUGAGGAUUUUGUGAUAAAGCGUGAGGUUGAUGAAUUUCACUUUGGAAGAAAAUAAGCUUUGAGGAAACACAUCUUUAAAGAACAACAACAUUGAAGAAAAUCAACUUUGAGGAAAAACAACUUUGAAGAAACUCAACUUGAGGAAUUUCAAAGUUGGGUGGUGGCGUGACCCACCGUAUAAAAAUGAUGAUUUCAGGCGCCGCGUACAAUUGUCGUAGGGCCCUGAGAACCAAAUUCUUCAUUAAUUUCCUCACACUAAGAGUGAUAUUCUUCAUCGGUUGAAGAAAAUCGAUUCUUCGUGUGUUGCACAUCAAGUCAUCAAUUUUGCCUAAGUGUUAGGAUCUAUGCAUGUUUUUACAAGACAUUUGAAGAUUCUAAGAUAUUUAGCUCACACCGCAACUUGCAAAACCUUUCCUCAUCCAAGGGCUUAGUGAAAAUAUCAGUUGGUUGGUCGUCAGUCUUCACAUGGUCGAUGAUGAUAUUGCCCUUGAGGACAUGGUCCCGAAGAAAAUGAUGACGAAUCUGGAUGUGCUUAGUCUUCGAGUGUUGUUCAGGGUUGUACACAAUCUUGAUUGUACUCUCAUUGUCACAGUACAGAGGCACAUUCUUCAUGUUGAUGCCGUAGUCCUUGAGGGUUUGCUUCAUCCAUAGCAAUUGAGCACAGCAUGAACCAGCAGCAAUGUACUCAGCUUCGAUAGUGGCGAGAGAAACGCAGUUCUGUUUCUUUGAGGACCAGCGGACUAAUGAUCUUCUGAGGAAAUGACAAGUGCCAGAAGUUGACUUGCGAUCCACAGGGUCACCAGCAUAGUCAGAAUCCGAAUAUCCCACAAGAUGAAGAUUAGAGCCCUUGGGGUACCAUAAUCCUAGUGUUGGUGUGUGAGCUAAGUAUCAAAGAAUAUGCUUCAUAGCCUUAUGGUGUGAUUCCUUCGGUUUUGCUUGAAAACGUGCACACAUGCAAACAUUAAGCAUUAUAUCUGGCCUAGAUGCACACAAAUACAAUAAAGAUCCAAUCAUGGAGCGAUGUACCUGCUGAUCGAAUUCUUUACUAUUUUCGUCGUUGUAGAGGUGGUCAUUGGUAGGCAUGGGAGUCUUGGCGCCUUUGCAUUCAUGCAUGUCGAAUUUCCUCAGAACAUCCUUGAGGUAUUUCUCCUGUGAUAUGAAGAUCCCAUUGUGUUGUUGAUGAAUUUGAAGACCUAAGAAGAAUUUCAGCUCCCCCAUCAUAGACAUCUGAUAUUCUUCACUCAUCAUGUAAGCAAAUUCAUCACUGUAGCGUUUGUCAGUACAGCCAAAUAUGAUGUCAUUGACAUAUAUUUGGCACACAAAUAGUUCAUUGCCAUAGGAUUUUGUGAAAAGAGUUGGAUCGAGUGAACCAGGUUUGAAGCCUUUCUUCAUGAGGAAUUCCUUCAGUGUAUCGUACCACGCUCGUGGGGCUUGCUUGAGACCAUAGAGCGCCUUUUUGAGUCUGAAGACUUUGUCUGGAUUCUUUGGAUCCUCAAAACCUGGGGGCUGAGCAACAUAUACUUCUUCCUCAAGCUUACCAUUGAGGAAUGCACUUUUCACAUCCAUUUGAUAUAAGGUAAUGUUAUGAUGAUUAGCAUAAGCAAGUAGUAUUCAAAUAGCUUCAACUCUAGCAAUAGGUGCAAAAGUUUCAUCGAAAUCAAUUCCUUCAACCUGUGUGUAGCCUUGGGCUACAAGUCGUGCCUUAUUCCUCACCACUUGACCAUCCUCAUCUUGCUUGUUUCGAAAAAUCCACUUGGUGCCAAUGAUAUUGUGCUUCCAAAGAUCUGGUCAUUUGACGAGCUCCCAUAAGUCAUUCAGCUUGAAUUGAAGAAGUUCGUCUUGCAUGGCUUGAAUCCACUCAGGUUCCACUCAGGUUCUGUGAUAGACACAAAAUAAGAAUGCCCACAAAAGUUAACGAAGUGUGAAGCUUUUGAGCGAGUGAGAGGACCUGGCACGUUGAUGUCAUCGAGGAUUUUGUCAAGUUCUACUUCAUUUGCAAUCCUCGGAUGAGCUGGUUGAGGAUUUCGUCUGGGCUGAGGAAUUGGUUCUGGAGCAAUUUCCUCAGGAGCAUCUUCUUGAUUUUCAGCAGUGCUGGGAAUGAUUUCUUCAGCAAUUUCCUAAGUAGGAACAAUGUCUUCAGUAGCUUUGAGCUUUAUUGCUUCCUCAGGAGACAGCUUAUCUGGAUCACGAGGCAAUUGCUCUCUUUGUGAACCAUUAGUUUCAUCAAACCGCACAUCUACAUUUUCAACAACCUUGUUGUGAUAGGUGUUGAAGACUCUGUAGGUGUGCGGGUCCUUUCCGUAACCAAGCAUAAAACCCUCAUGUGCCUUAGGUGCAAACUUUGAGCUAUGGUGAGGAUCUCUAAUCCAGCAUUUUGCACCGAAGACUUUGAAAUAACUUACGUUGGGUUUCUUGUCAGUGAGGAGUUCAUAUGAGGUUUUCUUGAGGAAUUUGUGAAGAUAUACCCUGUUGAUGAUAUGGCAAGCAGUGUUGAUUGCUUCAGGCCAGAAACGAUGAGGAGUCUGAUAUUCUUCAAGCAUGGUUCGUGCCAUCUCAACCAGAGUCAUGUCCUUUCUUUCGACGACGCCAUUCUGUUGAGGAGUAUAAGGAGCACACAAUUCGUGAGUAAUACCAAGUUCAUCAAGAUAAUUAUCAAGACCAGUGUUUUUGAAUUCUGUUCCAUUAUCACUCUUGAUGUGUUUGAUCAUGACGCCGAAGUUCGUCGAGGCCCUUGAGGAAAAUCGUUUGAAGACUUCCUGCACUUCAGUUUUAUACAUAAUGAUAUGCACCCAAGUGUAUCUGGAAUAAUCAUCAACUAUGACAAAGCCAUAUAAAGAUGUAGCAUUUGUUAGAGUGUCACAAUGAGUAGGUCCAAAUAGAUCCAUGUGAAGCAAUUCAAAUGGACGCGUAGUGGUCAUGAUAGUCUUCGAGGGGUGUUUGGAUCUGGUCAUUUUUUCAGACUCACAAGCACCGCAGAGGUGGUCCUUGAGGAAUUUGACUGAUUCCAUGCCAAUGACAUGUUUCUUCUUCGCGAGCCUGUGCAAAUUCCUCAUGCCUGCAUGACCUAGUCUUCGAUGCCAUAGCCACCCUUCUGUGGUUUUUGCUAGUAAGCAUCUGGCUGGUUGAUGACCUAUAGAGAAAUCAACAAGGUACAAAUCCCCUCUUCUAACACCAUCGAAGACUUUGGAUCUGUCAGAUUCUUUGAUGAAAACACAUCUAUAUUUUCCAAAGAUAACAACCAUAUCAAGAUCACAAAGCAUUGAGGCUGACAUGAGGUUAAACCCAAGGGAUUCAACAAGCAUCACUUUGUCUAUAUGCCUGUCCUUGGAAAUAGCCACAUUGCCAGGUCCCAAUACCUUGCUUUUACCUUUGUCAACAUAAGUGAUUUGCUUCAGGGGUGAUGGAGUCAGUGGCAUAUUCAUCAACAAGCUUUUGCCACGAGUAAUGUGGUGUGUGCAGCCACUAUCAAGAACCCACUCGGUGCUCUUGGGUUUGUCAUCCUGCAGAUGAAUUAGUACAGCUUACCAUCUCAUAUGCUUCAGACUUGAAGAAUAUGAUAUCAAUUUCAUCAGAUAGGAAUUUCAUCAUAAACAUUAAUUUUGAGGACGUGUGAAAUAUUUUCAUUUCAUCAAUAUUAUCUUGCGUCCUAUCAAGCAUUUUCCUUAGGUCUCCAGCUAAUUCUUCAGAUGAUGAUUUUCAUCUGGAGACCUGUCCUGCAGAAGUGAUUAGUUCAAUUUCUUCCCCACCACAUCUGAAAGGGGUCAUAAAGAAUUCAUCAUCCUGCGAGCACCAUAUGAGAAAGGGGGCAUUGAAGCUAAUGCACUUCUCUUCACAGUAGGGGGGUUAGAGUACUCAAAUGAAUAGGCAGAGAAAUUCUUUGAGGAUUUAUGAACAUAAUUAAUUGAAGAGUAAUACUCAUAUUCAUGUCCCUUGUAAUUUCCCUGCAUAUUAGAAGCAUUAGCACGGGUACGAGCAUAGUUUUGACCAGUUGUGGAUUGUGAUCCUCUUGAAGACUUUGGUCCUCCUGAGGAAUUUGAUCUGGGGUUCACAUUCUUGAUAGGUGGUGUCAUGAGGACAUUCACCUGAAGAUUUUGAAGGCAACUUUUGGGGACCCAUAUUUUCCUCAGGGGUGGUCCAUUCCUGCAGUUAGUUCCAACAUAUCGAGCAAAUACUUCACGAGAUUGAUUUUUGAACAGUUUAUAGUUGGAGUCAAAUGACUCAUCUGAGGAAUAGGAUAAUUCACAUGCAAAGCCUGUUAGAUUGGAUGGAUCAAUAGGAGGCCCUUUAGCGGCAACCCAUGAGGUUUUGGGAUACUGCUCAGCUUUCUAGUAUGAUCCAUCAGCAUUCAAUUUCCUCUCAAAGGCAAUUCCUUCUUUCCUCGGGUUCCUGUUCAAAAUUAGCUUUUUGAGCACAUCGCAAAGGGUUUGGUGCCCUUUGAUACUUUUGUACAUGCCUGUCACAUACAAUUCCUUCAGCCCUGCAUUUUCAUCAGUGGCAUUUGUGGUUUCCUCAAAUGAGGAAUUUGAUACCACACGGGCAGUUGAAGAAUUUGUAGCAAUAGAAGCAUUUGAUGAUUCUCGUGAAGAAUUAGCAGUUUCACGUUCGAUCCAUUUAAGACACGGAGGAAUGAAUUCAGCCUAAGCGGCACUGAUCUGUUGAGUGAGUAAUGAAUCAUUUUCCAUACGAAGAUCAUCAUGAGAAAUCCUCAGCUUCUCAAGAUCAAGUUUCCUUUCAAGAAAUUCAUAGGAAAAUUUCUCAUGAUCAGCGAGGAGUGUGCCAUGACGAUCUUGAAGAUUAUCAAAUCGGGACUGAAGACUUUUCAUAUCUUCAGUGAGGAUUUGCGUAAGAUUCAUUUCAUCAUUCAACAGGUCAUCGCUUCUAUCUAGCAGUUUCUGAAGCUUUUCGAGGGCAGUUUGUUGUUUAGUUGCCAUGAUAGCAAGUUUACUGUACCUCAAUCAGAGGAGGAAGCAUCAUUCGGUACCUUUGAACCUUUUGCCAUGAAGCAAUAGGUUGGAGCGAAGUCAUCAGCAUAGUCAUCAGUGUGGAUGGCGUUGUCAUUUUCUUCAAGGUUGAAGAUUGACUUGCUGACGAAUGUGGUUGCUAGUGCAAGACUAGCCUGUCCAGAUUCUGAGUCUUCUUCAGAACCCUCCUCUUCAUCACAUUCCUCAGAUUCUGCCUCAGAAUCCAUUUCCUUGCCAAUAAGUGCCCGAGCCUUUCUGAAACUAGUCUUCUUGUGCGACGAGGACUUUGAGGAUGAGGAUUUUGAAGAUUUCUUAUUUUUCUUUGACUCAUCAGAACUUUCUGAAACUUUCUUCUUUGAUUCCUUCACCCAACAAGGACAAUCAGCAAUGUAGCGACCUGAUUUCUUGCAUUUGUGGCAUGUUCUUUUCUUGUAGUCCUCAGAUGAAGCGUAUGAUUUCCUCAUAUCUCUUCUUAAAGAUUUACCAAACUGGCCACGUCUUGUAAACUUUNNNNNNNNNNNNNNNNNNNNNNNNNNNNNNNNNNNNNNNNNNNNNNNNNNNNNNNNNNNNNNNNNNNNNNNNNNNNNNNNNNNNNNNNNNNNNNNNNNNNUUCAAACUCCUCAGCGACUUAUAGAUCAUGUGUACACUCGUGAACACAUUAGAUACUUAACCUAUAAGUCUUCAAACCACCAAAAUCACUAAGCGGCACUAGAUGCACUUAUACAAAGUCAUCCAAGGAAAGCCCAUGAGGAAAAAGUGGAAAAUCAAAAAAGGGGUGGGAAAAUAAGGAAGGAGUCCUAAUCCAAGUGGGAUUGGAGAAGGACUCCUCCCUCUCUCCAAACUUCAACCGACCCAAGGAGGACUCCUUGGUGCGCCAAGGCUGCCUAGGGCUGCCUCUCCCCUCCUCCUAUAUAUACUAGAGGUUUAGGGCAUUUGAGACACAACUUUGCCACGUGCACCUCAAACCUACACCUCGUAGUUCUUCCUCUAGAUUAGAUUUCUGCGGAGCUCGGGCGGAGCCCUGCAGGAAUAGUUCAUCACCAACACCGGCGCGUCGUCACAUUGCCAGAGAACUCAUCUACUUCUCCGUCUCUAUUGCUGGAUCAAGAAGGCCGAGAUCGUCAUCGAGUUGUACGUGUGCUGAAUGCAGAGGUGCCGUCCGUUCGGUGCUAGAUCGGGACGGAUCGUGGGACAGAUCGCGAGACGUUUUGUGGGACGGAUCGAGGGACGGUUCGUGGGAUUCUUCGAGGGAUGUGAAGAUGUUCCACUACAUCAACUGCGUUGCUUAACGCUUCCCGCUGUGCGAUUUACAAGGGUACGUCGAUCUAAUCUCCACUCGUAGAUGGACAUCACCAUGAUAUAUAGGUCUUUUUGUGCGUAGGAAAUUUUUUGUUUCCCAUGCAACGUUCCCCAACACUACAUUGACCGGGAGAUAGCCAACGCACUUCAGCUCCUAGAUGUGGUCGCCGGUGACGCCAGAGGCCACCCACUUGCCCUUGGAACCAAAACUGGCCAUGGCCGAACUGGGCAAGUGGCCUAAGGAGAUUUGAGGGAAGGAUGGAUCUGGGCGCUUAGCGCACAAGAGAUUGGGAAGGAGACCGUAAUGAGAGAUCUGAGAAGCGUAUGGAGGCCUUGGUGGUUGUUUCCCUUUUAUAAGCUGUCAUAAUACCUAGAGCCCCUUUACUGCCCCGCGGACCUUGCCAGUUCUGAUAUAAUCGUGUCGUUAUGCAUGCGUGGGAUAGCGAAAACCAUGAAUCAUAUCCCUUAUAAAAUGGGGCACGAUCACUAUAUCGAUGGGACGUGCUAAUGAAGGAACUGCUUCGAAUCACGAAUCGAUCUUCCAUAACUCGUCGGUAGUAGGGACCGGUUGCGACCUUUAGCUAAAAGUUUUCAAACGAAGAAAAUUUUCACACUCGAGCGGUUGGCCUUCGAGGCUAACUAACACAUACUGUUUGGAAAUGGGUAAGUCGUCAGUGGCCGAACUAGUACUCGCCGAACAUAGAAGGGGAAAAGAACUCGCCCCGCAAGCCGGAAACUUUGGACACGUGAAGCUGUUGGGGAUCUAGACCCCGACAUUGAAGGCUAGUUCAUGGGUUACCGAGGGAGUCCGAUACUAUGGGGUCCUCGGGCCGCCGGUCUAUCUCUUAUGGGCCAGAUAGGUGGGCCGCUGUGUGACUAUUACUUGAACGUCGAGCUAUAAGGCGACUCUGUGUUAAGGAAGGAAUCCUCUGGUGCCUUGGCAUGUGCUCCAAGUCAAGAUGAUAGAAUCGGCAUGUUUAUUCCCUGAUGACAACCAACCAUGCGUAACCCUAGGUACCCCUGGCACUACUAGGAAAGGCUUAAUAAUGGCGCACAUAUUUUUGGCUACUARURKMGCAYUAUGGUGCGCCAUUAGUAUGCCUCCCAGGGCCAUAUUUACCCAUGUGCUCUGGCUNNNNNNNNNNNNNNNNNNNNNNNNNNNNNNNNNNNNNNNNNNNNNNNNNNNNNNNNNNNNNNNNNNNNNNNNNNNNNNNNNNNNNNNNNNNNNNNNNNNNCGGCCACCCCUGCGCCGCCCCCUACGCCGACCCCUGUGCAACCCCCUGCGUCACCCCCUCCCCUCACCUGCCCCGCGCCGCCCACCUCCCCUCCACCCGGCCUCCCUCGCGCCACCCYKCGCCGCCSCCUCCCUCACCUGCCCCGGCGCCGCCCCCUCCCUCACCAGCUCCCUGCGCAGGCCCACCCUCACCGGUUCCUGGCGACACCCUCCCCUCACCGGCCGUCCCCAACUUCGGUGAGUGCCUCUGGUACCCUAUUUUUUCAGUUUUUUUUCUUUUGAAUUAGAUAGUUAGUUUAUUAGGUUACUACUAGUUUAGGUUAAUUCAGUUAGUGCAAGAUGAGAAUAAAAUGAAGAAGAAGAGGAGGAGAAGAAGAAAAGAAGAAGAAGAAGAGAGAGADAGANANAANAAAGAGAGAGAGAAGAAGAAGAAGAAGAAGAAGAAGAAGAAGAAGAAGAAGAAGAAGAAGAAGAAGAAGAGAGAGAGAAGAGAGAGAGAGAAGAGANAGGAGGAGGAGGAGGANNNNNNNNNNNNNNNNNNNNNNNNNNNNNNNNNNNNNNNNNNNNNNNNNNNNNNNNNNNNNNNNNNNNNNNNNNNNNNNNNNNNNNNNNNNNNNNNNNNNUGUGUUGUAACAUGUGAAUUUAGAGUAAGCCUACAAAAGCCCGACCACGGCAGAAGAAANAAGAAAGGACGAAGGUCGUCCCCUAUCCUUAAUCGUAGACUCUAAAGUAUGCCAUGUUGUGUGCCGCACCUCGAUCGUGUGACUUACCACAAGUCUGUUAAGAGGUACAGAGAGUGAUACAUGAUUUAAUCACUGAACAACGAUCAAAGUUAUCCUUAGUAACUAAUGGACUAAGGAAUCCACCUAUACUAAGCAGAUUAAAGGUACAGGACUGAAAGUAGCAGUUCAUCAAAAAACAGGCUAUGCAUCAGAUGUAGGAGCUAACUACAACAGUAGCAAAAAUACUAAUGCAAGCAGUAGGAAGAAAGACAUAGGCGAUAUAGGAAUGAUCAAGGGGAGUUUGCUUGCCUUGCUGCUCUGCGGCAAAGGACUGAUCGGCAGGGUCGUAGAUGUACCCGGCAGCAGCGUCAGUCUCGGGGUCUACCGGUAAGAAGAGGGGGAAGAAACAAUAAAUAAUAGCACCGAUGCAACACAAAACAUGACAUGGAAAUAUGCAGGCUAGACAUGAGCUAACGCAGCAACAUCCGUCAUAGACGGGUCGGAAGAAUAUCUGACGAUAUUUUCCGGGUCUCGGGCUACUACCGGUUAUACUGGAAACGAUGGAAAAGUUCCAUGUUUGCUAUGCUAGGGACGCGUGACAGACGAAUGGACCGUGUAUCCGGGUUCGUCUCGCUUUGCUGAUCAACUUUCAUGUUGAAAAUAUUUCGAUCUGACUUACGAUUAUUUAAUAUUAAUUUCCAAAGUUUUAUUAAUUAUUUAAGAAUUAAAAACAGAUUUAAAAGAUUUAGUAAAAUUCCAUUAUGACAUCAUCGCGAUGUCAUGCUGACAUCACAUUUGACUGGUCAACUGACCAGCGGGUCCCGAACGUCAUAGGCACAAGUUUUAUUUAAGAUUAAAUAUUAUUUAAUCAGAUUAGUUUAGUGGGGGGACCCGCGUGUCAUACUCUAAUUAUGUUAAUUAAUUAUUUUAACUAAUAUAUCUAAUUAUUUAUUUAUUUAAGAAAAAUAUUAUUUUUAUAAUUUGUAUUAACUAUCGCGUGGGGCCUCCCUGUCAUAGUCCCGGGUGCAUUGGCCCCACCGGUAAGUGACCUAAGGCCAAAUACACAUUUUAAAUCACAAAUAAAUAAACAUACAAAUGUUGUAUCUCUCCACAUGCCUAUAUACGCAAACACAUACAUAAUACGGGUAUCGAAUACAUACAUACAUACAUACGGAAUACAACAUUUGAUUUUAUUUCUUUUCUCUCAAAAGCUCUCAUCUCUCUCUGUGUUAACAGAGACAGAGAACUCACUUUGCUCCAACUCCACCUAGAAGAACCUAAACUUCAAAUCCUCCUACCGGAGUCCACCGUCGACGGAUCGAGGUCCCGUUUGCCGGAAGGGAACCGGCACGGCGAGGAGAUCGACACGGUGGGAGGAGCCCGAAGAGGGGCUCAGCGACGGUGACGUGACGGCCCGGUGAAGCCGGAGUUCGCACGAAGGUGAUGGUGGAGACGGCAUGGUUGCGGUGACGGUGACGGUGACGAUGGUGGUGACGUGCCGACGAGGGGGAGACGGUCGGAUCCGGUCGGAUCCGGUGAGUUGGUGAUGUCUCCCUGCCCGGUCCCUCCCGGACCGAGCAGAAGAUGGCCGACAGGGGCCGGGGGUCGCCGCGGGGAGGAGGAGGCCGAGGGGCGGCCGGGGCUCGCCGGGGGAGGAGGUGGCCGAGGGGAAGGAGGCCGGCGGGGGGAGGCGAGGAGGUAGUGAGGGCGGGCCGCCGGGGGAGGAGAGGAGCCGUGGGGGGGGGGGGCGGCUCGCCGGCGUGGUGGGGUGGCUCGAUGGAGAAGCUCGCCGGCGGGAGGCAGGGGAGGGGCCGNNNNNNNNNNNNNNNNNNNNNNNNNNNNNNNNNNNNNNNNNNNNNNNNNNNNNNNNNNNNNNNNNNNNNNNNNNNNNNNNNNNNNNNNNNNNNNNNNNNNCGAGUGAACCAGGUUUGAAGCCUUUCUUCAUGAGGAAUUCCUUCAGUGUAUCGUACCACGCUCGUGGGGCUUGCUUGAGACCAUAGAGCGCCUUUUUGAGUCUGAAGACUUUGUCUGGAUUCUUUGGAUCCUCAAAACCUGGGGGCUGAGCAACAUAUACUUCUUCCUCAAGCUUACCAUUGAGGAAUGCACUUUUCACAUCCAUUUGAUAUAAGGUAAUGUUAUGAUGAUUAGCAUAAGCAAGUAGUAUUCAAAUAGCUUCAACUCUAGCAAUAGGUGCAAAAGUUUCAUCGAAAUCAAUUCCUUCAACCUGUGUGUAGCCUUGGGCUACAAGUCGUGCCUUAUUCCUCACCACUUGACCAUCCUCAUCUUGCUUGUUUCGAAAAAUCCACUUGGUGCCAAUGAUAUUGUGCUUCCAAAGAUCUGGUCAUUUGACGAGCUCCCAUAAGUCAUUCAGCUUGAAUUGAAGAAGUUCGUCUUGCAUGGCUUGAAUCCACUCAGGUUCCACUCAGGUUCUGUGAUAGACACAAAAUAAGAAUGCCCACAAAAGUUAACGAAGUGUGAAGCUUUGAGCGAGUGAGAGGACCUGGCACGUUGAUGUCAUCGAGGAUUUGUUCUAAGUUCUUACUUCUAUUUGUCAAUCCUCGGNUGAGCUGGUUGGAGGUAGUUUCGUUCGUUGGGUCGUGGUAGGGUAAGUUUAGGGUUUCGUUGGGUAGGUACGUAAACUUUUACCUUCCGUAGGGAGGCGUAUUCUUUCUUUGGUUAACGUUUUUUUACCGAANNNNNNNNNNNNNNNNNNNNNNNNNNNNNNNNNNNNNNNNNNNNNNNNNNNNNNNNNNNNNNNNNNNNNNNNNNNNNNNNNNNNNNNNNNNNNNNNNNNNGGGGUGGUCUAUGUAGUCNCUUUGCUGUCAGCGUCCAGGUGGGCAGACAGCAAGAAGAGGAACAGAGNGGGGGGAGGAGGAGGCAGACGGCAAAGAGUGGAGGAGAGGGGGGAGGGAGGAGCGAGGCGAGACGGACAAGAGUGGACGAGGAGGCAGACGACAAAGAUGGAGGGGAGGGGAGGGGAGGAGAAGGCAGACGACAAAGAUGGAGGGGAGGCAGACGGCAAAGCCUCCGUUAACCCCUAACGGAGGCAACGCGUGUCGGCUCCCGUGUCGAGCACUUUGCCGACUGCUCCUAAGGAAAGCUGACGGCAAAGAGCUUUGUCGUCCGCUUUGCCUGGGCAGAUGGCAAAGAAGGUCCUAUGCCGUCGUAGGCUGACGCAGAAAUUUUGCCAGCCGUGAGAAUCUUUGCCGUCUGCCAUAUUGUCUUUGCCAUCCGGGAUAUUGUCUUUGUCGUCUGUGAUGGCAGACGGCAAAGAAGUUGAUUCCUGUACUGGUAGCACCGUCAAUCUAGAACACAGUGGAUACUAGGGAUCAAUCCCCGUCAAGAACUAUAUCAAUUACAUGAUAGAUCUCAUCCAACUCAUCACCGUCCAGCAAGCCUAUGAUGAGAUUACUCACAAACGAUGAAGAGCAUCAUGGAAUUGUCGAUGGAGAAAGGUUGAUGAUGACGAUAGCGACGAUUUCCCCUCUCCGGAGCCCGAAACGGACUCCAGAUCUGCCCUCCAAAUGAAGAACAGGAUGUGGCGGCGCCUCCGUAUCGCAAAACGCGAUGAAACCUUCUCUCUGAUUUUUUUCCAGGCGAAAUGGAAGAUAUAGAGCUGAGAUUUGGGGCGCUGGUGCCACGUGGGCCCCACAAGCCCUCACGGCAUGACCAUAGGGGUUGGCUGCGGCCUGUGGGCUUGUGGCCCACUAGCACACCCCCUCCGGUGGACUUUGCACAGGUAUUUUUCUUUUAUUCCAAAAAAAAAUCUCUGUAAAUUUUUUAGGACGUUCCGAGAACUUUCAUUUCUGCACAAAAACAACACCAUGGGAAUUCUGUUGAAAACAGCGUCAGUCCGGGUUAGUUCCAUUCAAAUCAUGCAAAUUAGAGCCCAAAACAAGGGCAAAAGAGUUCAGAAAAGUAGAUACGAUAGAGACGUGUCAUGGGGUUAGGUGUGUUUGCAUGGGCUUGCAUCAAGAGGAAGAUCUCAUUCAACCCAUGGAAGAUUGCGAUGUGCAAGUUCAAGUGGAGCAUCACGAAGAGAUCAUGCUUGAAGUUUGCCGUCCAUUGUGGUAACAAUGGACAUGUGAAGAUGUGUCGAAGAGUGGCUCACCCAUAGUGCAGUAUGGGGGAGCAAUCAACUAGUCUUCAUCGAGCCAACGCAAUCAAGCAAGAUGGUCAAUCUUGAGGAGGACAACAUCAUCAUCAUCAUUUAGCUCAAGUGGACCAUGCGCAAGGCAAGUGUUUGUCCUUGGAUAGGUUUCUAUUUACCAGGCUCAGUGUGUUAGUUGGAGACCGGGUUAUAGGAUAGAUUGUCGUACUAUCAAGGGGGGCUCACAAGUGAGUAGCUUGACCAUAUCGUUCGUUGAGAGCUCAAACCAUUGCAUUCUUGGCAUCAUCAUAUUUCUUGGUUCUUGGUUGAUUUUUCUCUAUGUGUGUUCUUGAGCUUAUGGUCAUCUUCAUGACAAGCUCGAGGUCAUCGAAAACUGUUCAUAUGCAUCUUCUAUGAUGUUUUUGAUAUUGGUAGUUUUUGUUGGUUCUUCAUUCAGAGAGGUUUCACAUCUCUAUAUCAUUGGCUAUUUUCAUAACUGUCGUUGUUUGGUAUAGUACUCGCCGUGUGCUAUCNNNNNNNNNNNNNNNNNNNNNNNNNNNNNNNNNNNNNNNNNNNNNNNNNNNNNNNNNNNNNNNNNNNNNNNNNNNNNNNNNNNNNNNNNNNNNNNNNNNNAGAGUAGUAAAACGGAUUCGUAUAGUAGAGUAGAUAUUCGAAGUAUUUCCGAAUAGCACGUAGUAGCAGCAUCUAUAAGAUGACAUAAAUAUUUGUAAAGCACACACGGAUACUAAAAGAUUCAGAACCGUUUAACUAAAACCUCUAUCACGAGCAAGACGUGAUCAAACCCCAGAACUAUAUGGGUGUUGGAUUCUUUAAAAAUCACAUGGUGAUGUGUACUAGAUUAUUGACUCCAGUGCAUGUGGGAGAGUGUUGGAAAUAUGCCCUAGAGUCAAUAAUAAAUUAGUUAUUAUUAUAUUUCCUUGUUCAUAAUAAAUGUUUAUUAUCCAUGCUAGAAUUGUAUUGAUUGGAAACUCAAAUACAUGUGUGGAUACAUAGAGAACACACUGUCCCUAAUGAGCCUCUAGUUGACUAGUUCGUUGAUCAAAGAUGGUCAAGGUUUCCUGGCCAUAGGCAAGUGUUGUCACCUGAUAACGGGAUCACAUCAUUAGGAGAAUCAUGAGAUGGAAAAGACCCAAAUAAUAACCGUAGCAUGUGAUCGUGUUAUUUGUGNUAUUGUUUUCACGGGUUCAAGUUAUUCAUUCCUGUGACCNUGAGAGCUAUGGUUAACCUUAGUCGGUACUACCUUACCGAAAGGGUAAACUUUACCCGUUUUUACGUUGGUUAGGUUAACUUACCGUUAAACGGUUACGUACGUAANNNNNNNNNNNNNNNNNNNNNNNNNNNNNNNNNNNNNNNNNNNNNNNNNNNNNNNNNNNNNNNNNNNNNNNNNNNNNNNNNNNNNNNNNNNNNNNNNNNNGAGGUAGACGUANMCUUCSUCCUCCUCCUCCUCCUCCUCCUCUCUUCUCUCUCUCUCUUCUUCUUCUUCUUCUUCUUUCUUUUCAUUUUGCCUAUUUCUUCUCCUCUUCUCCUCUUGUUGGAGCUAAAUUACCUAAUUAUGUCUUUUUUGAGCUAAAUGGGCUAAUUAUCCCAUUUUAGAGGAAAACAAGCUAAGUAUAUAAUAUUAAUGAGCUAACCAAGGUUCUUAUGCCAUUUUGAGCUUAUUAUGGUAAUUUGGAGCUAAAUGGGCUAAUUAUGUCAUUGUUGGGUUAAUUAAAGCAAGGAUCAUAUGAAAGAGGAGAAGAAUGGCCAUUUUUUUUAGCUAAAUGGGCUAAUUAUCUCAUUGUUGGGGAAAAUAAGGUAAGGAGAAUAAGAUAGAGGAGAAGAAAGAGGAGGAGGAGGAGAAGAAGAAGAAGAAAUCAAGAAGAAGGAGAAGGAGGAGGAGGAGAAGAAGGAGGAGAAGAAGGAGAAGGAGGAGAAGGGAUUCUUCUUCUCUUCUUCUCUUCUUCAUCUCUUCAUCUCUUCUUCUUUUCUUCUUCUUUUGUUCUUCUCCUUCUUAUUUUUGUCUUCUCUUCUUCUUCUUCUUCUUUUUCUUCUUCCUCUCYUYCUCYUCUUCUCUYUCUUCUCYUCYUCUUCUCUUCUCCUCUCUCUCUCUCUCUCUCUCUCUCUCUCUNNNNNNNNNNNNNNNNNNNNNNNNNNNNNNNNNNNNNNNNNNNNNNNNNNNNNNNNNNNNNNNNNNNNNNNNNNNNNNNNNNNNNNNNNNNNNNNNNNNNAAAGGAAGGGAAGGUAGGGAAGGGAAGGGAAGGGAAGGGAAGGAAGGGAAAGGAAAAAAAGGAAAGGGGAAAGAAAGAAAGUAAAUUAAAGUUAAGGAAADUAAAWAGAAAAAAAAAGUAAGGAAGAAGAAGAAGAAGAAGAAGAAGAAGAAAGAAAAAAUAAAGAAGGAAAAGAAGUAAAGAAGAAGAGAAGAAGAAGAAAAAAGAAGAAGAAGUUGUWUUUUUUAUUGUUUGGUAUUUAGUUUUUUGGAAUUAGAUUAUAACUACCGGCAUGAUUUUUUAUUGUUGUUGUAGUAGUUGUUCUUGUUAUUGUAGUUGUUGUUGUUAUUGUAGUUGUUGUGGCAUAUAUAGUUUAGUUGGUAGGUUAGUUAACUAGUAGUUUUAGUGGUAGUUUAGUUAGUUGGUAGACUUAGUUAGUUAAUUAGUAGAUUUAGUAGGUAGUUUAGUGGUAGAUUUUGUUUUGUUAUUUAGUGGUAGCUAGAUUAUUUUUUAGUUACUUAGUGGUAGAUUCUGUUUUUGUUAUUUUUUUGCUGUUUAGUGCUAUCUAGGUUUAGCGAUAGGUUUAGUUAGCUUCGUUAGUUAGGUUAGUUAGUUAGUCAGCUUAUAGAAAGAAUAGGAAGAAGAAGAAGAGGAGGAGGAGGAGAAGAGGAGAAGAGGAGGAGGAGAGGAAGAAGAAAAAGAAGAAGAAGAAGAAGAGAAGACAAAAAUAAGAAGGAGAAGAACAAAAGAAGAAGAAAGAAGAAGAAGAUAGAAGAGAUAGAAGAAGAGAAGAAGAGAAGAAGAAUWCYCUUACUCUCUCUCUYWCUCCUUCUUCUCCUCCUUCUUCUCCUCCUCCUCCUUCUCCUUCUUCUUGAUUUCUUCUUCUUCUUCUCUCUCUCCUCUUCUUCUCCUCUNUCUUNUUCUCUUNUUCCUACUGNNNNNNNNNNNNNNNNNNNNNNNNNNNNNNNNNNNNNNNNNNNNNNNNNNNNNNNNNNNNNNNNNNNNNNNNNNNNNNNNNNNNNNNNNNNNNNNNNNNNCCUYCUYCUCGUUCUUAUUUGUAUUUCUUCUUCUUCUCCUCCUCCUCCUCUUUCAUAUUAUCCUUAGCYUUAAUUUCCCCAACAAUGCCAUAAUAACCUCAAAAUAGGCAUAAGAACCUUGGUUAGCUCAUGAAUAUUAUAUACUUAGCUUGUUUUCCUCUAAAAUGGGAUAAUUAGCCCAUUUAGCUCCAAAAAGACAUAAUUUGGUAAUUAACUCCAACAAAAGGAGAAGAAAAAGGAAAAAUGAAAGAAGAAGAAGAAGAAGAAGAGAAGAAGGAGAAGGAGGAGGAGCAGGAGCAGGAGAAGGAGGAGAAGGCCAAGGACCUUCUAGUCCUUCUCCUCCUCCUCCUUCUCCUCCUUCUUCUUGAUUUCUUCUUCUUCUCCUCCUCCUCCUCUUUCUUCUCCUCUUUCAUAUUAUCCUUGCUUUAUUUCCCMAAARGWCRSAWUGAUUUCGACUAGUCCUAUAUGUUCACGAGUCCUUCUAGUCUUUUUCGGCUGGAACCAAUAACAUUUGAAGACUACGACGUUCGGUGGGUUUUCACCACAUAACUGAAGUUCAUAAAUUGNUUCAACUCUUCCAUAAUACUCGAUAACACCUUCGCCGAUAGCAGAGACACCACAAUUUGUAGAUUUCUGGUGGGNNNNNNNNNNNNNNNNNNNNNNNNNNNNNNNNNNNNNNNNNNNNNNNNNNNNNNNNNNNNNNNNNNNNNNNNNNNNNNNNNNNNNNNNNNNNNNNNNNNNGAUCAACCACUAGUUAGUCNCUAUGACCAUCUUUGGAUAAUACGAUCACAACUUGACGUCAUACUUCAUGGGUUGGUAUGAGAUCUUCUCCUUUUGACGCAAGCCCAUGGAAACACACCUAACCCCCACAUAGAACUCUCACGAAGACCAUGGGUUAGUACACAAACACGUAAUGGACAAUGCUUACCAUACCAUGGGAUCACUUGAUCCCUCUCGGUACAUCUUGUACGCUUUGUGUGUUGAUCAUCUUGAUUUACUCUUUAUCUGAGAUCGUGAUCAACCUUGUGUCUCUAUGACCAUUCUUUGGAUAAUACCUUGAUACCACCUUGGUCAUCAUAUAAACUCCUUGAACCCAACAGAUGGACUUCAAGAACUGCCUAUGGACAGAUCCUAUAAAUAUAACUUAAGGCAACCAUUAGUCCAUAGGAAUUGUCAUCAAUUACCAAAACCACAUAUGGAGAUAUAUGCUCUAACAAAGAUGAAUGGAGAUAUUCUAACUUUCGCUGGACUCGAUACAGUGAUUUUUGGUACUGGACGUGCCAUAUUCACCCUCCCAAGUGGUACACAAGUGAUGAUAGAGGACUCAUCACGUACCCNNNNNNNNNNNNNNNNNNNNNNNNNNNNNNNNNNNNNNNNNNNNNNNNNNNNNNNNNNNNNNNNNNNNNNNNNNNNNNNNNNNNNNNNNNNNNNNNNNNNUUUUUUUUAAAAAAACGGGGGUUUUUUUUUUUUAAAAAACCCCCGGGGUUUUUUUUUUUUUAAAAAAGGGGGGGGUUUUUUUUUUUUAAACCCCCCCCCCGGGGGUUUUUAAAAAAAAAACCCCCGGGGAAAAACCCCCCCGGGGGGGUUAAAAAAAAAAAAAAAAAAAACCCCCGGGGGGGUUAAAAAAAAAAAAAAACCCGGGUUUUUUUAAAAAAACCCCGGGGGUUUAAAAAAAAAAAAGGGGGGGGGGGGUAAAAAAAACCCCCCGGGGGGUUUUUUUUUAAAACCCCCCGGGGGUUUUUAAACCCGGGGGUUUUAAAAAAAAAAAACCCCCCGGUUUAAAAAAAACCGGUUUUUUUUAAAAAAAACGGGUUUUUUUUUAAAAAAAAACCGGGGGGGUUUUAAAAAAAACCCCCGGGUUUUUUUAAAAAAAAACCCCGGUUUUUUUAAAAACCCCCCCGGGGGGGGUUAAAAAAAAAAAAAAAACCCGUUUUUUUAAAAACCCCCGGGUUUUAAAAAAAAAAAAACCCCCGUUUUUAAAAACCCCCCCCCCGGGGGGUUAAAAAAAAAAACCCCCCCCCGUAAAAAAAAAAACCCCCCCCCCCCCCGUUUAAAAAAAACCCCCGGUUUUUUUUUUUUUUUUUAAAAAACCGGGGGUUUUUUUUAAAAACCCGGGUUUUUUUAAACGGGGGGUUUUUUUUUUUUUAAACCCCCCCCCCCCCCCGGGGGGUUUUUAAAAAACCCGGGUUUUUUAACCGGGUUUUUUACCCCGGUUUUUUUAAAAAAACCGUUUUUUAAAAAAAACGUUUUUUUUUUAAAAAACCCCCGGGGGGGGUUAACCCCGGGUUUUAACCCCCUUAAAAAAAACCCCCCGUUAAAACGGGGGGGAAACCCCCGGGUUAAAACCCCCCCCCCCGGUAAAAAAAAACCCGGUUUUUUUUUUUUUUUUAAACCCCGGUUUUUUUAAAAACUUUACCCCGUUUUAAACCCCCGGGUUUUAACCGGGGGGGGGUCCCGGAAAUUUAACGGGUUACCCCCGAAAAAAAAACCCGGGGGGUAAAACGUUUAAAAAAGGGUAAAAAACGUUACCCUUUGGGGGUAAAAAACGGGGGGUUUUAGGGUUUAAGUUAGGUUUGGUUUUUUAAUUUGGUAAAAGGUUAGGCCCGGCCCAACCAACUGUUCCAAGACCACCUACCUCCCAAAUGAACAGGAUUAUGAACCUCACAUUAACCCAGACACAUAUGAUGAGAAUUCUUCCAAGAAACACGUCUUUCCAAGAAACGUUUCAAGAACCGCCGUGCUUCAUCCAAGAACAUGGAAGUAGACAGCGACAAUGAAUCCGACUCCAGCCCUGAGCCGGAACCAGAAGACCUGGAACUCGUAGAGGUUACUGAUGCGGAUGACCUGUCAAUGCUUCAACGAUUAAAGGAAGGCCUUUCACAACUUCACGCCGUUGAACCCGAUGAGCACGUCAUUCAUGAAGACAUGCGUGAUAGUGAUGAUGAUGAUGCAUUUAUUGUAUGAUGAUUAUUAGUUUGUAAGAUUCACAACUUAAAUUAUAUAUAUUUAAUUCUUUAUUUAUUCAUGUACAUAUUAUUAUUCAUGUCAGUCAUUCUAAUUUCUUUAUGUUGUUACUAAUUUCUUUUUUAAUUACUUUUACUUCUAUGGGUCGAGGUUGUUUGUAAAGAUGGUGGGCGCGGGUCCAGAGCGCUCGCGGGUUCGUUCCNCGGCGCCCUGCACGGAGGGGGUGGUACUUCCCUUCCCUACCCAACUUAGUUCUUCCNNNNNNNNNNNNNNNNNNNNNNNNNNNNNNNNNNNNNNNNNNNNNNNNNNNNNNNNNNNNNNNNNNNNNNNNNNNNNNNNNNNNNNNNNNNNNNNNNNNNUUAGCCCAUAUAGCUACUAAAAGAGCACCAACAAGGAAGGAGAAGGAGGAAGAAAGAAAGUAGGDAAAAAUGAAAAGAAAGAAGAAGAAGAAUAUGAGAAGAAGGAGAAGGAGGAGGAGGAGGAGGAGAAGGCCAAGGACCUUCUAGUCCUUCUCCUCCUCCUCCUUCUCCUCCUUCUUCUUGAUUUCUUCUUCUUCUCCUCCUCCUCUUCUUUCUUCUCCUCUUUCAUAUUAUCCUUGCUUUAAUUUCCCCAACAAUGACAUAAUUAGCCCAUUUAGCUCCAAAAUACCAUAAUAAGCGCAAAAUGGCAUAAGAACCUUGGUUAGCUCAUAAAUAUUAUGUACUUAGCUUGUUUUCCUCUAAAAUGGGAUAAUUAACCCAUUUAGCUCCAAAAAGACAUAAUUAGGUAAUUUAGCUCCAACAAGAGGAACAGAGGAGAACAAAUAGGCAAAAUGAAAAGAAAGAAGAAGAAGAAGAAGAAGAGAAGACGGAGAAGGAGGAGGAGGAGGAGGAGAAGGCCAAGGACCUUCUAGUCCUUCUCCUCCUCCUCCUUCUCCUCCUUCUUCUUGAUUUCUUAUUCUUCUCUCCUCCUCCUCUUUCUUCUCUCUUCUAUAUUAUUCCUUCGUCUUUUNNNNNNNNNNNNNNNNNNNNNNNNNNNNNNNNNNNNNNNNNNNNNNNNNNNNNNNNNNNNNNNNNNNNNNNNNNNNNNNNNNNNNNNNNNNNNNNNNNNNCGUACGUAGUACGUAAMRUAGGUAGUUAGUUWAGUUWRUMHUACAUAAUAUAUAUAUAUAUAUAUAUAUAUAUAUAUAUAUAUAUAUAUCUAAAAAAGGCUAGGCCGUGCAGAUGCACGGGUUGACGACUAGUUUAUAUAAUUCACCACACAUAUAUGAUAUAUAGUUCACCACACAUAUACUUGCCAACACAUAUAUAUAUAGUUCACCACACAUAUAUGAUAUACAUAUAAAUCAAUGUACAUACCCAUAUAUCGAAAGAACCAACAUCCAAAGUAUUGCACUAUUUAUCCAUAUAUACAUAUACAUAUAGUUCGACAUUGUUCAUCAACUCAAAUGAAAACUAGAUGAUAUACAUAUAAAGUUCAUCCAUCGACAUUGUUCAACUCCAUGAAUGCCAGCUUCCAUGCAUGUUGUAUAUCCAAUCUGCAAAAAAUGUGAAUAAGAAAGUCAUAAGAAGAACAAAAUWAAUGAUGUUUUGAGCUAAUUAUGUUCUAUUUUUAGUACGGAAAACAAGACUAAGAAUAAUAAUAUUCAUGAGCUAACCAAGGUUCUUAUGCCAUUUUUAGCUAUUAUGGCAUUUGGUGCUAAAUGGGUUAAUUANCGUACGAUUUAGUUGGGGGAAACGGUUUAAAAGGCGAAGGAUAAAUAUGAAAGAGGAGAAGAAAGNGGAGGAGGAGGANAAGAAGAAAUACAAACAAGAAAGGAGGAGGAAGGAGGAGGAGGAGGAGGAGAGGACUAGAAGGCUUGCGUUCUCCUCCUCCUCCUCCUCCUUCUCCUUCUUCUCUUCNNNNNNNNNNNNNNNNNNNNNNNNNNNNNNNNNNNNNNNNNNNNNNNNNNNNNNNNNNNNNNNNNNNNNNNNNNNNNNNNNNNNNNNNNNNNNNNNNNNNCACGGCAUAGGACCUCUUGCCGAUCUGCCCAGGCAAAGCGGACGACAAAGCUCUUUGCCGUACAGNUUCCUUAGGAGCAUCGGCAAAGUGCUCGACACGGGAGCCGACACGCGUUGCCUCCUUAGGGGGUUUAACCGGAGGCUUUGCCGUCUGCUCCCCCUCCAUCUUUGUCGUCUGCCUUCUCCUCCCUCCCCUCCCCCUCCAUCUUUGUCGUCUGCCUCCUCGUCCAUCUUUGCCGUCUGCCUGCUCCUCCCUCCCCCCCUCUCUCCACUCUUUGCCGUCUGCCUCCUCCUCCCCCCCUCCUCUGUUCCCUCUUCUUUGCUGUCUGCCACCCUGGAGGCUGACAGCAAAGAGACUACAUAGACACCCCAGGAUGCACAGCUGGGUGCCAUGUGUCACCUUUGCCGUCUGCCAGCUGAUGGCACAGGUCUUUGCCAUCAGCUGGCAGACGGCAAAGAGCCCAUAUAGUUCCUAUUUUUUUUUGUUUUAUAUUAUUUCACAUCACACACACACACACACACACACACACACACAUAUAUAUAUAUAUAUUUGAUAGCACUAUUAUAUAAUCACCACACAUAUAUGAUAUAUAGUUCACCACACAUAUACUUGCCAACACAUAUAUAUAAUUCACCACACAUAUAUGAUUCACCAAUAGUACACUCCCACUAUAUACCGAAACGAACCAACAACUACCAAGUAUUGCACUAUUAACCUAUAUAUACAUAUACAUAUUAGUCGNNNNNNNNNNNNNNNNNNNNNNNNNNNNNNNNNNNNNNNNNNNNNNNNNNNNNNNNNNNNNNNNNNNNNNNNNNNNNNNNNNNNNNNNNNNNNNNNNNNNAGGAGGAGGAGGUAGGNGAGGAGACGGANACCGGAGGAACGUUACGGACCUACGGUACCUUCCUACUCCUUCCUCCUCCUCCNCCUCCUUCUUGUGUACUUCUUCUUCUUCUCCUCCUCCUCCUUCUUUCUCUCUUCUCAAUUAUCCUUGCCUUUAAGUUAACCCAACAAUGACAUAAUUAGCCCAUUUAGCUCCAAAAUAACCCAAACUUAAAGUACGUCCUAAAUAAGGUCGAUCAAGAACCUUGGUUAGCUCAUUAAUAUUAUAUACUUAGCUUGUUUUCCUCUAAAAUGGGAUAAUUAGCCCAUUUAGCUCAAAAAAGACAUAAKUAGGUAAUUUAGCUCCAACAAGAGGAGAAGAGGAGAAGAAAUAGGCAAAAUGGAAAACAAAAGAAGAAGAAGAAGAGAAGAAGAAGAAGGAGGAGGAGGAGGAGCAGGAGCAGGAGGAGGAGAAGGCCAAGGACCUUCUAUCCUUCUCCUCCUCCUCCUUCUUCUUGAUUACUUCUUCUUCUUCUCCUCCUCCUCUUUCUUCUCCUCUUUCAUAUUAUCCUUGCUUUAAUUAACCCAACAAUGACAUAAUUAGCCCAUUUAGCUMCMAAAUACCAAACUAAGCUCAAAAUGCAUCAGAACCUUGGUUAGCUCAUUAAUAUUAUAUACUUAGCUUGUUUUCCUCUAAAAUGGGAUAAUUUAGCCCAUUUAGCUACAAAAAAAAGACAUAAGUAGGUAAUUUAGCUCCAAANAAGNNNNNNNNNNNNNNNNNNNNNNNNNNNNNNNNNNNNNNNNNNNNNNNNNNNNNNNNNNNNNNNNNNNNNNNNNNNNNNNNNNNNNNNNNNNNNNNNNNNNCGUUYCUUMCUUCUUACUUSUCUCUCGUAUUUUCUUCUCUUCUUCUUCUUVGUUCUUUCUUUCUAUUUUCCUAUUUCUUCUCCUUUUGUUGGAGCUAAUUACCUAAUUAUGUCUUCUUUCUUCUUCUCCUUAUUAUUGUCUUCUCUUCUUCUUCUUCUUCUUCUCCUUCUUCUUCUCCUCCUCCUCCUCCUCCUCCUCCUCUUCUCCUCUUCUCCUCCUCCUCCUCUUCUUCUUCUUCCUCUUCUUUCUAUUAAGCAAACUAACUAACUAACCUAACUAACCAAGCUAACUAAACCUAUCGCUAAACCUAUAUAGUGCUAAACAGCAAAAAAUAACAAAAACAGAAUCUAUAUCACUAAGUAACUAAAAUAUAGCUCCUUCUUUCCUUUCUCCUAUUUCUCUUCUCCUCCUCCUCCUCCUCUCUCUCUCUCUCUCUCUCUCUCUCUCUCUCUCUCUCUCUCUCUUCUUCUUCUUCUUCUUCUUCUUCUUCUUCUUCUUCUUCUUCUUCUUCUUCUUCUUCUUCUUCUUCUUCUUCUUCUUCUUCUUCUUYUUCUUCUUCUUCUUCUUCUUCUUCUUCUUCUUCUUCUUUCUUCUUCUUCUUCUUCUUCUUCUUACUUACUUACUUACWMCUUAACUUAACUUAACUUAACUAACUUAACUUAACUUAACUUAACUUAAACUUAAACUAAUAAAUAAACUAAACUUAAAAACGUAAAACGUAAAACGUAAACGUAAACGUAAACGUAACGUAANNNNNNNNNNNNNNNNNNNNNNNNNNNNNNNNNNNNNNNNNNNNNNNNNNNNNNNNNNNNNNNNNNNNNNNNNNNNNNNNNNNNNNNNNNNNNNNNNNNNUCCUCCUUCUCCUCCUCCUCCUCCUCCUUCUCCUCCUUCUCCUUCUUCUCUUCUUCUUCUUCUUCUUCUUUCGUUUCAUUUUUCCUAUUUAUUCUCCUCUUGUUGGAGCUAAAUUACCUAAUUAUGUCUUCUUGGAGCUAAAUGGGCUAAUUAUCUCAUUUUAGAGGAAAACAAUCUAAGUUUGGAGGAAAAACUUACCGUAGUGGUCAUCAAGGAGGAGAAACACCACGGUUGCUCGCGAUGGCUUCGUUUGGAGACGGUUGCCCUGGAGAAGGGUCGUGCGGUGCCGCUCGGGAGAUAUUCUGCAGAAAAGAUAUUUUGCAAUGUGUCAGUUAGCAUGAUGACACUCAAUUAUUAAUACUAGUUUAUAAUGAAACUCACCGUGCCAAUCGAAGAGAAGACGGGCAUCGGCGGAGGGACUUGACCGCUCUUCUCGCACAGACCCUGAAGAGUGGGUCGUAUUAGUUAGUAUUGAAACAGACAUUACACACAUGAUUUGGCUAAUGUGAAAAAAACAUACCACAAAAAGCUCGUACAGGGCCCGUUGACCCGCCUCAUUCCGGGCCCUCUCCUCCUCAAGCAAUCGUGUCGUGGUGUGGUCCUUCUCAUCAAGAGCAGCCUGGCUUGCCAAUCUCUCUUUCUCAAGAGCAGUCUGGUUUGCCGCUCUCUCUUUCUGAAGAGCAGCCUGAAACAACAUUCCUCGUUACGACAGUAAUAAUCUAUGGUGACACACAUAAUGAAAUGGAUGAAAGUGUUCAUAGUCCGUACAACUAACCUCGAUGGCAAGUUCGACUGGCCGUGAACGAGGCAUUAACUCAGGACAUCUGCUCGACUGGCGCGCCUUGAUCUCCGGAAGAGUGAGUGGACAACGUAUUAUCCGAUCUCCAAUGGCUAUCGAGCCAUGGGGCCUCCCGCCACCAGAUAUCAUCACGAGCUCUGGAUCCAAAGGUUCCUGGCUAGGGUUAAAGUCAUCCCCUUUCGUAGCCUUCCCCGCGUCCCUGUAUGCCACGAGCUUCUGGUGGGAUGAUAUGUUGGUGAAGUUAUUGGGAUCAUCUAGGUCAGACUGAGAGAAUGCCUUCGCCUUCUUGUACGAGGCAGUAUGGGCCAUGCCAUAAAGGUCGUACAAGUGUGGCAUCUCAGUCUUAUUGUGAUGCGCCUAAAAGAGAGGAACAAAAUAUUAGCAUCAAGAAUGAAUUGCAUGAAUCAUGAAGCAAAUCACAUACCCAAUUUCGUCCAAACUGAAGUAAGUUGGCGCUGCCUUGAUGGUGUGGCACACCAACCAUUUGGCUACGUCGAUCCUUCGCAUUCUCGUGGAUGGCUCGCCAGCUGCCUGUGCACCACUCAUCAACCAACGCCUUCCAACAAUCCGUCUUAUCCGCACACCAUCUCGGGGGCACCUGUAAGUUAUUAGAAAGAAUUUUUAGCGCUACGCCUAUGAAUGAAAUCAAGAAAACUACGUAGAAGGACUUAAGAAUAGGUAAUUACCUUCAUGUAUUGCUCCUUCUUCAGAAACUUUCCGCGGCAAUCCUUCUUCUGCUUCUUAAUACCACGCGUGGCGUAGUAAUCUCGAAUAGCCUGCGGCCGAGCCUCGUGGCGCAAGUUCUGUAGUAACCGCCUACACUCGACCUCGAGAACCCUGGCCGCCUCCUCCUCAUAUCCACCCUCACACCUAUAGAAGGUAUGCAAUCAAACGUGAAAACACCGAUUAGUACAGUAAUUAGCUAUAUUGUUAAUUUUAGAUUCUGUAAAAGGAUAAUUUAUCCAAAAGCUCUUGAUCACCAUCUCGGCCCUCGUGUGGCACAAGACACCAUCUAUAAUCUCCUGCGGUGGGGCCUGCGCAGGCUGGUAGUGCUCUGAGGUAAAUCCUAGUGUAGGAACCUGACCCUCACCAGGCAACGUGACAAACCCCGGGAAAUUUGUCCGGCAAAGCACACCAAGGACGGAGUUCGGCCUACGGACUCCAAGAGGGUGUACCCAUCCCCUGCAGUAUGAUAAAGUCGGUGCAUUAGAUAUUUGAACAAACUUGAAGGCAAAAGCUAAAAAAAGGUAAAUGUAUUUACCUAUCUCCUUCAGGUUUAAUCACCGGCCUCUGCUCGCGGGUAGCCGUGGCGACCGGGAGACGUGUACUACCACGCUUGUACACGGUGGCCCCGCCCACCUGCACAUCGCCCUCACUAUCCGUAAGCUCAUCCCCGCCAUCCCCGCCCCUUGAGCCAUCGGACCCUCGGUCCAAUCCGGCAACUCGGUACGAUCCGGCCAAGGCUCCCAUCCAGGCCUCUCCACGUCGGGUGAAGCCUACGGAACCGUAGUCUCCUCCGGCUGCUCCUGGGCCGAAUGCACCUCGACCCGAGGCUGCUCCUGGACCGGAGUCUCAUGGGACGAAUGCCCGUGAACACUAGGCUCCUGGACCGGAGUCCCCGUAGCCUCCUCCGCAAACGGGUCGACCAUACUAGUCCUAUGCUUGGGUGAAUGAGCUGGUGGUGGUGGCAAGGACGGCUCAACAGUCCUCCUGGAUCUUCCGCGGCCACCACCUCUCCCUGUACCCUUCCCCUUCUUCCCUACCCGACCAGCACCUCUCCCAGUGGGCAAUGCCGCCGACGAAGAAGAACCCACGGCUGGUGCCGAAAGACUGUCUGCCAAGGCUCUACGGAGAGAUAUGGGUGGAAGGGAAGUACCACCCCUCGUGCAGGGCGCCUGGGAAGAACCCGUCGAGCGCUCUGGACCCGCGCCCACCAUCUUUCAACACCUGCCAUGAUAAAGAUUAAAAGAAAUUAGUACAACAUAAGAAAAUUGAAUGACUGACAUGAAUAAUAAUAUGUACAUGAAUAAUAAAGAUUAAAAUAUAUAUAAUUUAAGUUGUGAAUCUUACAAACUAAUAAUCAUCAUCAAUAAAUGCAUCAUCAUCAUCACUAUCACGCAUGUCUUCAUGAAUGACGUGCUCAUCGGGUUCAACGGCGUGAAGUUGUGAAAGGCCUUCCUUUAAUCGUUGAAGCAUUGACAGGUCAUCCGCAUCAGUAACCUCUACGAGUUCCAGGUCUUCUGGUUCCGGCUCAGGGCUGGAGUCGGAUUCAUUGUCGCUGUCUACUUCCAUGUUCUUGGAUGAAGCACGGCGGUUCUUGAAACGUUUCUUGGAAAGACGUGUUUCUUGGAAGAAUUCUCCAUCAUAUGUGUCUGGGUUAAUGUGAGGUUCAUAAUCCUGUUCAUUUGGGAGAGGUGGUCUGACAUGUGGCGGCACUUCAUAAACAACAUACCAACCUUCCAGAUUCUUAUCCGUUUGGCAUGCCCACGGUAGAUAGAAAACUUGGGUCGCCUGUUGAGCCGUAAUAUAGACAUCGGGAACAUCUAAAUGGGUGUUCGGAUUGAUUUCGACUAGUCCUAUAUGUUCACGAGUCCUUCUAGUCUUUUUCGGCUGGAACCAAUAACAUUUGAAGACUACGACGUUCGGUGGGUUUUCACCACAUAACUGAAGUUCAUAAAUUGCUUCAACUCUUCCAUAAUACUCGAUAACACCUUCGCCGAUAGCAGAGACACCACAAUUUGUAGAUUUCUGGUCGGGCAUAGAUAGCUCUUUGCCAAAGGUACGAAAGAGAUACCCGUUGAUGUUGUAUUUCUCAAAUGAACGGACCUUAUAGUCAAAACCAUUAGCGACUUGUCUCAAUUCGGCGUCCAUAGACUCUGAAUUAGCCUACAAGUUUAAUACGAAACGGUUGUUGCAUUAGCCGCAAGUUAGACCAAGAAUGAAAUGGUCCAUUAUUGAUAAUUAUCGUUUGUUUGAACCAGGAGAUGAAACCGAGAUAGCCGCCUCCUGUCUUUGACAGAAGCUCAUACUCUUCGACGGAAUCAUUUUCGAUCACCGCUCCAUCCGAGAAUUUGACGACGUAACGGCUGUUUGAAAUAUCUAGGAAUAAAAGCAGUUCAAAUGAAUUAGAAGUUACGGGAAAAUGUGCUGAGAACUCACUCGAUGUACGGCCACACUUCUGUUAGGUUGUUGAAGAUAUACAACGAAAUGUUCCGCCAUUCUUCGAUAUCCAACGUUAUUGGUUUCGAAGCACCGGCUGGUGCGAGCUUCCCUUUUAAUAGGCUGAGGUUGGACCCACCUUUUUUAGGGUCUCCAUCAUUGUGCCGAGGCUUCGGAUUAUGCAAAUGAUGAUUUUUGGCUUCGUAGUGUGCUGUCACAAAGUUUGCCACCUCCUCAGUAAUGAAUGCCUCAGCCAUCGAUGCUUCAAUUCUACGCUUAUUUUUACAUUUAGCUCGAACGAUCUUGCACGGGCCCACCCAAUCUUGCCUCGGUCGGUAGAUGUAAAAUCAAAUGCUGCGUUGGAUUAAAGAAGCCCGAUGGAAAGAUCUUCUCUAACUUGCACAACAACUCCAGUGCAAACUCCUCCAUGUCUUCUACCAUGCCAGGCGACAAUUCUUUCGCACAAAAACACGGAAGAAAUAGCUCAGCUCCGCCAGUACUAGCCAUUCAUCCUCAGGAUUAAGCCACGUAACAUCACCGGCAUUACCCGCUCUAGCCAUAUGUGCCAAUAAUGACUCUUGAGACCAAAGAUUUUUAAUUUUUCAAUACUUGCUCCCCUCUUUAGAUUCGCUGCAUACCCAUCGGGGAACAUCAAGUGCAUUUUGACCCACAAGAUAAUUUCCCUCAUAGCUGGCCUUCCAAGAUUGAACCAGGCCUUUGGCUUCGACCACUUUUGCUUUCCAUUGCCUUCUCGCAUGUUUUGUAACGGUCUAUGACAUAGUGUCUCUUGAUCGACUCUAGCCUUAAUAUUAUCCUUUGUCUUCCCAUCUAUGUCGAACAAUGUACCAAAAAUAGCCUCUCCGAUAUUCUUUUCAGUGUGCAUCAUGUCGAUAUUGUGUGGAAAAAGGAGGUCUUUGAAGUAAGGCAGAUCCCAGAAGCAUGGCUUGUGAGUCCAAGCGUGUUUUGAAUUAUACCCCUUGAAAUACCCUGGACGCUCUGGAUCAGGCUUGAGGGCGUUUAACUGAUCCAGGAUCUGUUGGCCUGUGAACGCAGGUGGUGCCAAGUUUUUGACAACUUUACCUUUGGUAAAGUUCUUCUUGUCUUUUCUGAACUGAUGGUCAAGAUCCAGGAACUGUCUAUGCAAGUCAAAGCAAGAAUACUUCCGACCCUCCUGCAACCAAUGAAACUGAAGAGCUGCCUUGCAUUGGGGGCACGGGAACCUUCCAUGCACACACCAUCCAGAGAAUAGCGCAUACGCUGGCAAGUCAUGCAUAGAGUACAUGUACCACACAUGCAUUUUGAAGUUUUCUUUUCUAGCGGCAUCGUAUGUCUUGACCCCAUUUUCCCAAGCUUCUUCCAAUUCAUCCUUAAGCAGUUGCAGGUACACAUUCAUAUUCUUCCCCGGAUAAUUGGGCCCUGGAAUUAUCAACGUCAGAAAUAUGUUCUUUCUUUGCAUAAUCUGCCCGGGGGGAGAUUGAGUGGAAUGACAAAUACAGGCCAACAACUAUAUUGGGUUGCCGUCAUGCCGAAGGGAUUAAAACCAUCCGUGGCGGCGCAGACUCGAGGAUUCCUUGGAUCUGCCGCUUUAUCCUGAUGCAACCCAUCGAAAUGUUUCCACGCUUCCCCAUCCGAUGUGUGUACCAUCAUCUUAUUCCCAUUCGCAUCUAGUUCGGUUCUUUUGCCCAAUUUGUGUCAUGUCAUCUGUCUGGCUGUCUCUUCGACCAUGAAAAGACGUUGAAGUCUUGGUACGAUUGGCAUAUACCGAAGAACACUAACUACGAUUUUGGUCUGCCUCUUCUCACCCAUACCGUUGUCUACCACAAGAUACCUGCAAGACUCGCAAUUGGGACAAUAGUCCAAGUGUGCAUACUCCUUCCUAAAUAAGACACAUCCUUUCUCACAUGCAUCUAUCUUCUCAUAGGGCAUCUUAAGUACACGAAGUAUUUUGUCCGACUGGUACAGGUUUGCAGGCAUGACAUGGCCUUUGGGUAGGAAACGUCCAAAUAGUGUCAUCAUCGCGUCGUAGCAUUCUCUUCCCAAGUUGAACUGAGCCUUCAGAGCCAUCACUUGUGCAAUUGCAUCCAGUUGACAGAGCUCGGUGUGCUCAUGGAGAGGAUGUUUUGAAGACUCCAACAUUUCAUAAAAGGCCUUUGCAGAUUCCUCCAUCUCAUCUUCCGAAUCCCGAGCAUCAUCAAAGUCUUGCACCAUGUCUUCGAUCCCGGUACCAUGCUCGUCCGCGCGACGACGGACCACCUCACCUCUUGUGCGUUGUAUAGACUCACCAUGAAAUGUCCACACCGUAUAAUUAGGCUUAAAACCCCUCCUCUGCAGGUGUUUAAUCAUUACAGCCUCUGUCGUCUUUUUAUAGUUGUCGCAUCCAGGACAGGGCAAUAGUUUCUUUCCUGGCCAUUUGCGAAUGCGGCUUUCACAAAUUCCUUUGUUUUUAAAAACCAUUCUUUCGUCAUCUCUUUCUGAAUAGGGUGACCGGUAUACAUCCACGCACGAUCACUCAUCUUGCGUAGCUACUAAAGACAGAAGAAAUAUAUUUUUAUAUAAUUUAGCAUUUAUAUUCAUCGGUUAAUCAGGUUCGCCAUUUUUAUUACGUCCAGGCAACCUACACGCUAAUAGGUAUAGAUAGGUCCUAAUCCCACCCGAGUAUGUGUAGAUUGGGUUCGUUUUCCCAUGCUCUGCUCCGGAUCCAACGCAAAAUUUCGGCAGCACCUCCCAGUUGUUCUCCUGAUACACGUCUCCGCAAUAAACAGAGAGGAUGUGCAUCCGAAGAACAACAGGGAGGCACUGACGAAAUUCCGCAUCGGAUCCAGAGCACAACAUACGGGAAAAGGAACCCAAUCUACACAUACUCGGGCUGUCCAUGGAUACUGUUGGACAAUUCGAAAGGAUGGCGAUUAUAAAUAUGCAAAGACAUGCAUAUUUAUAGAUGUCGCCCUUUCGAACGGGAGACGCAUACUGGUCACGCAUACUGAUAAAUUAAUUGAAUUACCUAAAUCUAGAAAGUUUCAUCUGGAAACCGAGCCACAGUAAAUGAAGGGGCGGGGAGGAGAUGAAAUUUGUACUAACCCACGAAUGCAGGGGCGGAGCUCGUACAACGCACGGGCAGGUCUUCGCACAACAGACCUCACAGCGACGAGACAACUAUCAGAUGUAAAUCCACCCGAUCAACACAAAUAUUCCAAUUAUGUCAUUUUAGAGGAAAACAAGCUAAGUAUAUAAUAUUCGUGAGCUAACCAAGGUUCUUAUGCCAUUUUGAGGUUAUUAUGGCAUUUUGGAGCUAAAUGGGCUAAUUAUGUCAUUGUUGCGGAAAUUAAAGCAAGGAUAAUAUGAAAGAGGAGAAGAAAGAGGAGGAGGAGGAGAAGAAGAAGAAAUCAAGAAGAAGGAGGAGGAGGAGGAGGAGGAGGAGAAGGCCAAGGACCUUCUAUCCUUCUCCUCAUCCUCCACCUUCUUCUUGAUUUCUUCUUCUUCUCCUCCUCCUCCUCUUUCUUCUCCUCUUUCAUAUUAUUCUUGCUUUAAUUAACCCAACAAUGACAUAAUUAGCCCAUUUAGCUCCAAAAUACCAUAAUAAGCUCAAAAUGGCAUAAGAACCUUGGUUAGCUCAUUAAUAUUAUAUACUUAGCUUGUUUUCCUCUAAAAUGGGAUAAUUAGCCCAUUUAGCUCAAAAAAGACAUAAUUAGGUAAUUUAGCUCCAACAAGAGGAGAAGAGGAGAAGAAAUAGGCAAAAUGAAAAGAAAGAAAGAAGAAGAAGAAGAAGAGAAGAAGGAGAAGGAGGAGGAGGAGGAGGAGAAGGCCAAGGACCUUCUAGUCCUUCUCCUCCUCCUCCUCCUCCUUCUCCUCCUUCUUGUUGAUUUCUUCUUCUCCUCCUCCUCCUCUUUCUUCUCCUCUUUCAUAUUAUCCUUGCUUUAAGUUCCCCAACAAUGACAUAAUUAACCCAUUUAGCUCCAAAAUGCCAUAAUAAGCUAAAAAUGGCAUAAGAACCUUGGUUAGCUCAUGAAUAUUAUAUUCUUAGCUUGUUUUCCGCUAAAAAUGACAUAAUUAGCUCAAAACAUCAUAUUUUGUUCUUCUUAUGACUUUCUUAUUCACAUUUUUGCAGAUUGGAUAUACAACAUGCAUGGAAGCUGGCAUUCAUGGAGUUGAACAAUGUCGAUGGAUGAACUUUAUAUGUAUAUCAUCUAGUUUUCAUUUGAGUUGAUGAACAAUGUCGAACUAUAUGUAUAUGUAUAUAUGGAUAAAUAGUGCAAUACUUUGGAUGUUGGUUCUUUCGAUAUAUGGGUAUGUACAUUGAUUUAUAUGUAUAUCAUAUAUGUGUGGUGAACUAUAUAUAUAUGUGUUGGCAAGUAUAUGUGUGGUGAACUAUAUAUCAUAUAUGUGUGGUGAAUUAUAUAAACUAGUCGUCAACCCGUGCAUCUGCACNGGGUGGUCGGGCGACAGUGGUGGCGGCGUUGGGCGUCGGGGGAGGAGAGAGAGGGGGAGGGGCCGUUUGAGAGAGAGAGAGAGGGCCGUGGUGGGGCGAGACAUCCGUUACUAGAUUCAAGACCUUUGUCGUCUGCUGGCGGACGACAAAGGGGUCUAUACUCUUUGCUGUCUGCCUGUGGCAUCUUUGCCGUCAGCCAGCAGACGACAAAGAAGGGAGUAGUUUGACCUAAGGUUCCCCCGACCAGAUGAGCUUCUUUGCCGUCUGCUGGCCCCUUCUUUGCCGUCUGCGGCAGACGGCAAAGAGUUGACUGCUGGCAACGAUCUUCUUUGCCAUCAGCCAUUUCUUUGCCGUCAGUUUUGCUGAAGCUGAUGGCAAAGAGUGUCUUUGCCGUCAGCUAGGAGACGACAAAGACUAGGCAGACGACAAAAUCUCUGAUUCCAGUAGUGUACUACUAGGCUAUGCUUAAUGCUUGUCACUAGGGCCCGAGUGCCAUGAUUUCAGAUCUGAACCUAUUAUGUUGUCGCCAAUAUAUGUGUGUUUUAGAUCCUAUCUUGCAAGUUGUAGUCACCUACUAUGUGUUAUGACCCGGCAACCCCGGAGUGACAAUAGCCGGAACCACUCCCGGAGAUGAGCAUAGUAUGAGGAGUUCAUGUAUUCACCACGUGUUAAUGCAUUGGUCCGGUUCUUUAUUAAAAGGAGAACCUUAAUAUCCUAUAGUUUCCAUUAGGACCCCGCUGCCACGGGAGGGAUGGACAAUAGAUAUCAUGCAAGUUCUUUUCCCUAAGCAUGUAUGACUACAUACGGAAUACAUGCCUACAUUAGAUUGACGAACGGGAGCUAGUUACAUAUCUCUCCGUGUUAUAGCUGUUACAUGAUGAAUCACAUCCAGCACACUCAUCCAUCACUGAUCCACUGCCUACGAUUAUUUUACUACUGGUCCUUGCUAUGUUACUUUGCUGCUACUGCUGUCGCUACUGCUGUUACUCUGCUGUUACUACUACUGCUGCUACUGUUGUCACUACUGCUGUUACUUUGCUGUUACUUGUUGCAAGACUUUUCUGGAGCCGUUGCCAGGAAAGAAUAUUCCCCCGUCCACGUACUAGUUACUAGCGCCAUUGAUACAACAGUUAGGAAUAGUCUGCCGUCAACAGAUCUUUUUCUGACACCGUUGCUAUCAUACUACUAUGCUACUGAUACUUUGCUUGCAGACACUAAUCUUUCAGGUGUGGUUGAAACUGACAAACUCAGCUGCUAAUACUUGAGAAUAUUCUUUUGCUUCCCUUUGUGUCGAAUCAAUAAAUUUGGGUUGCAUACUCUACCCUCAAAAGCUGUUGCGAUCCCCUACACUUGUGGGUUAUCAAAACAAUUUACUGGCGCCGUUGCCGGGGAAGCACAACUAUAUUCUCUGAGUCACUUGGGAUUGAUGUCUGCUAAUCACUAUGAGGAAUCCGAAAGAUCCAAGAACUAAAAUCUUUCCUUCCCCUACGAGGAGAGGUAAGGAAUUGCCAUCUAGCUCUGCACUUGAUUCACUUUCAGUUUUGAGUAAGUUUGCGACUUCACCUCCUGCUAGAAAUCUUGAUAUGUUGCCUGUGCUUGAUGAUGCUACUUCUGCUGCUUAUGAUGCUAUGCUAGAUAUUAUGCGUGAUGAUGCUAUGCUAGAUACUAUGCCUGAUGAUGCUAUGCUUGAUACUAUGCCUGCUAUGUCUGAUACUGCUUUGCCACUUGAUGCAUUCCUUGAUGCACAACUUGCUAGAGCUGCUGCUAGAUGUGAUGAUACUUCUGAAACUGCUGAUACUGUUGAAGUAGAACGUGCUACUAUGCCUGAAUUGCCUGUUUUGCCUGAUAUGCGCUAUGUUAUGGAGGGAGAGAUAGCUGAGGACUUUCUUGCGUGUAAGGAUAGCUAUGAUGUUGAGAAACUUCUGCGCAAGUGGAAAGAAAAAUCUCUGAACGCUAGGAUGAAAUACCACCCGAAGUUUGCUACUUCGCCUAUCUUUGUGAUCGAUAAGGAUUAUGAAUUCUCUGUCGACCCUGAGUUAAUCACUCUGGUCGAAUCUGAUCCCUUUCACGGUUAUGAGUCUGAAACGGUUGUAGCCCAUCUUACCAAAUUGCACGAUAUAGCCACCCUAUUCACUAGUGAGGAAAAGAUCCGCCACUACUAUAUGCUCAAGCUGUUUCCUUUCUCGUUAAAGGAUGAUGCUAAGACCUGGUUCACUUCUCUUGCUCCUGGUUGUGUGCAUAGCCCCCAGGAUAUGGUCUACUACUUCUCUGAAAAAUAUUUCCCUGCCCAUAAGAAGCAAGCUGCCUUGCAGGAAAUAUACAACUUUGCUCAAGCUGAAGAAGAGAGUCUCCCACAAGCUUGGGCGAGGCUCAUCCAGCUACUGAAUGCUUUGCCUGAUCACCCUCUUGAGAAGAAUGAAAUACUUGAUAUAUUCUAUAAUGGACUUACCGAUGCUUCUAAAGACCACCUAGAUAGUUGUGCCGGUAGUGUUUUUAGGGAACGAACCGUAGAACAAGCUGAGAUUCUACCGAACAACAUCUUGUGCAAUGAGAAUGCUUGGACUAUUCCCGAACCACCUCCUAAGCCAACUCCAAAGAGAAGAGGUAUUCUAUUCCUCAGUCCUGAAGAUAUGCAAGAAGCCAAGAAAUCUAUGUGAGAGAAAGGCAUUAAAUAUGAAGAUGUCAAAAAUCUACCACCUAUCGAAGAGAUCCAUGGUUUCGAUAACCCGAUACAGGUAGUAGAAGUAAAUUCUCUGCGUAGGUUUGAUGAGAGUGAUAUUCCUAUUGAUAAACCUGCUAGCUUAUGCAUGGAUGAAUUUGAUAACUUCGUUGCCAAACAACAAAGUUUCAAUGAUUAUGUUAGCAGACAAUUGGAAAAGAAUGCUCGUAUGCUUAGUCAUUUAAGUGCUUGUGUAGAUAGAAAUGUCAAUGAUCCAAAACUUCUGAGUAAGCAUGCCUCUAUGGUUACUACUCAGGUAGAACAAGUACUUAAAGCUCAAAAUGACUUUCUCAAUGAGUUGAAUGACAAUUCCGUCAGAGUCGUUACUAGAGGCGGUAGAAUGACCCAGGAACCUCUGUAUCCUGAGGGUCAUCCGAAGAGAGUUGAACAAGAUUCUCAAGGAGUUAGCACUGAUGCACCUGGUCAUCCUAGAAAGAAGAAGAAAGAUGAUAGGAACCUGCACGCUAGCAACCCUGUUGCUGCUACACCUGAGAGUCCAAACGAUGCCUCUAUCUCUGAUGCUGAAACACAAUCUGGUGAUGAACAUGAGCCUAAUGAUAAUAUCAAUAGUGAUGUUCAUGAAGAUGCUCAACCUAGCAAUGAAAAGGAUGUGGAGAUUGAACCUAGUGUUGAUCUUGAUAACCCACAGCUUGAGACUAGAAGAUACGAUAAGAAUGACUUCACUGCUAGGAAGCACGGUAAAGAAAGGGAACCAUGGGUUCAGAAACCUAUGCCCUUUCCUCCCAAACCAUCCAAGAAAAAGGAUGAUGAGGAUUUUGAGCACUUCGUUGAGAUGAUCAGACCUGUCUUUCUACAGAUGCGUUUGACAGAUAUGCUCAAGGUGUCUCCGUAUGCUAAGUACAUGAAAGAUAUUGUGGCUAAUAAUAGGAGGAUACGCGAGGUUGAGAUUUCUGCCAUGCUUUCCAAUUACACUUUCAAGGGUGGAACUCCGAAGAAACUAGGUGAUCCCGGUGUGCCCACUAUACCUUGCUCCAUUAAAGGCAACUAUGUUAAAACUACGUUAUGCGACCUUGAAGCCGGUGUUAGUGUUAUGCCUCUCUCCCUUUAUCAUAUACUUGAACUGGAUAAGUUGACACCCUCUGAAAUCUCUCUGCAAAUGGCCGACAAAUCAACUGCUUUCCCUAUCGGCAUUUGCGAGGAUGUGCCUGUUGUGGUUGCUAACACCACUAUCUUAACAGACUUUGUUAUCUUGGAUAUUCCUGAGGACGAUGCCAUGGCUGUCAUCCUCGGAAGAUCCUUUUUAAACACUACAGGGGCUGUUAUAGAUUGCAACAAAGGCAAUGUCACUUUCCAUGUCAAUGGUAAUGAGCAUACGGUGCACUUUCCGAAGAAACAAUAUCGAGUACAUUGCAUCAAUGCUAUCGAAAAAACUUCAUCGAUUCUUAUUGGGAGCUUUGAAUGCCCUAUUCCUCGUGUCGAGAUGAAGUAUGAUUUUCUUGUUGGGGAGAUACAUAUCCCCAUUGAGGUGACCUAGUGACUAUUCAAAAAUUCUUCGUUCUCUUUUGCGAUUCGAGAAAGUUUUGUCGAGAGGAUUUGAUCAACCCCAUUGACGGAUUUCUUUCGAAGACCAUGAGAUGGAUGAAUCGAGGAGUCACAAACCUCUGUUCCAAAUUUUCACCUUAGGUUGCUUAGAAGAAAAAUGAUAGGUUUAGUUUAGUUUUCCCUAUUUUCUGUUUUAGCGUCCGGUAGAAAAAAUACCCCGAAAAUAAAAGUUCUCCGAACGUUGUGAAAAUCUAGUAUGAUUUUUUCUGGAAUAUUUGAAAAAUACUGGGAUAAAGAGUCUGUCUGGGGGCCACAAGCCCUAGGGGCACGGGCACCCCCCUGGCCGCGCCACCCAGGCUUGUGGGGCCCACAGGCAUCCCUCCACUCAUUCUUGCUCCCAUCUCCUUCUCCUACCUCCAGAAAAAAAUCGUUUUCCAGCUCAAACCCGUGUUCUUGCCUCUCUUGCUGGGAUUUUCGAUCUCUUUGCUCAAAUCAGCGUUCUCCAAACUGUUUUGGGGAAAUUACUCCUUGGUAAGUGACUCCUCCAUUGGUCCAAUUAGUUUUUGCUCUAGUGCCUUAUACUCCGCGUAUUUUUGCUGCCUUGGUGACCAUGUUCUUGAGAUUUGUAUGCUGAUUCUAGAUGGUCCCAAGUAGUUUUGAUGCAUAAUAUAGUCUCUAGGCACUUGUGGGAGUAGUUGCUACAAGUUUAGUUGAACCUUGUUCACCUUUCCUUUGGGUCACUGAAAAUUUCAGAAAAGGAAGAUGUUCAAGAGAAACUAUCAUGGUGGUUCCUCAAUCAAGAGAGGUCCCCGUCUUGCGAUUCGGGAGCCUCAUCCUUACCAACCUAGGGACGCGCAUGUACAACCAUGUGAAUGGACUUCUGAUGAAUUUAUGAUUGAGGCAGGUUUCAAAGAUGAGUCGGACUCGAAGAAUUCAUCUCCGAUAAACGUGAACAAUAUGUUGCUCUCACUGCUUCUUUUGUUCGUAGAUUCAAAUUUUCAGCUGGCCAUGAGCCAUCGGUACUAUUUGAUCUCUAUGAUAAAUCGUAUACCAUAGAUUUAGAGGAUUUCGGUAGAAUUGCAAAAUACCUAUUUGGGGUAACCUCAAUGAUCCUCCUAAAUCUUCGGUUAGAGAUUUUUGCGCUGGUAUUACGGUUGGAGAAACUAGAGACAUUACGCAAGCUACCAUGGGGAGUAUUCAUUUUCCUGCCUUGCAUUAUUUUGCCCUCUUCAUAGGCAGAUGCAUUAAUGGCAAGAUUGAGCAUUGUCACCUCUCUACACCCGACCUUAGUAUCCUUAAGAGCGCAGUGACAGGUGACAAAAGCUUCAACAUGGGAGCUAUUAUAGCAAGGAGGCUGAAUAAGAAUGCUAUUGAUGGGGAUUUCUUUGGUGGGAUCUAUGCCACUCGCAUAGCAAAUUUUCUUGGAGUACCCAUCCGCACAGGAGAUCCCCCGCUCCAUACAGCUUUCCUUGACCGCGUCACUAUGACACGCUACCAGUUCCUUGAGAGGGAUGAUGAAUCCCUCCUAUACCGAUUGAUAUUUAACCGGCAGCGUGUUUUCCAUAUUACCCUUGCUGCUCCUUCUUUCUUUGACUUUCAGGUAAAACAGAGAUAUUACAUAACCAGAGGAGUAUGAGAGGGAGGCGACGACUGCUCGUCUCCGUGAGGCAGCUAUUCAGGCAGUGGCUGCAGCGCUCCCGUAUAACCUCUAUUAUGAUUUUGGGUUUCGCCAGGACCGUCCUUGGGAGUAGACCAAGUUAGGCCAAAAGCCUAAGCUUGGGGGAGUACGUGUUCUCACCGACUUUACAUUCUUGCUUAUGCUUUCACUUUGUUAGCCGGUGUUCACACUUUGCCACUGUAUUAUCCACGCUAGUUUAUUUUCUUUUUCUCGUUUUCUUUUCGUGUGUCUAUCUAGUUUGAGAAAACCCAAAAAGAUUUUCUUUUUCUUCUUUUGCUUGUUGGGGGCUUUCCCAUGUAGAUAGUUUUCUUUUUCUUUGGGUCAAGGUAGAAGAUAUUGGUUACAAUGUUUAGUUGCGCUUGCAUGCAUACCUGUUCAGCUUUCAAAGAGCCAUAUUACUUUGUCUUCUCCUUUGUGUUUGCCUGCAGAUUCCAGCGUAGUCCAAUGCACGAGCACGCUUAUUAUUGUUCACAUCGUUCGGUCGUGCAAGUGAAAGGCAAUAAUGACGAUAUAUGAUGAAGUGAGUGAGCGUGGAAAAGCUGGUAUGAACUCGAUCUAUUUUGUUUUUGUAAAUAUGACUAGCUCAUCAUGCCUGAUUCAGCUUUGUUGUGAGAGAAACAUGUUUGCAAUGACAACUUAGAGAUCAUAGUUGCUUAUGCCAUGCUUACUUAGCUAGGAGCUUAUAAUGGUUUGUCUUGGAUGCCCACAUGAAUGUUGAGAUGACUAUGAUGUACUAUGAUAGGAUGGUAUCCUCCUUUGAAUGUUUCAAGUGGCUUGACUUGGCGCAUGUUCACGCAUGUAGUUGAAACAAAAUCAACACAGCCUCUAUGAUGUUCAUGUUCAUGGUGAUUUAUGUCCUACUCAUGCUUGCACUCAAUGUUAGUUAAUCUCAAUGCAUUUUGAUGACUGUUGUCGCUCUCUAGUUGGUCGCUUCCCAGUCUUUUGCUAGCCUUCACUUGUACUAAGCGGGAAUACUGCUUGUGCGUCCACCUCCAUAAACCCAAAGUUGUUCCAUGUGAGUCCACCAUACCUACCUAUGUGCGGUAUCUACCUGCCGUUCCAAGUAAAUUUGCAUGUGCCACUCUCUAAACCUUCAAGAAAUAAUCUAUUUUGCAUGCUCGAACCGCUCAUGUGGUGACAGGGGGCUAUUGGUAUCUUCCAUGCUAGGCGUGUUAUCCUCGACAUGUGUUUAUUCACUAUCAUUAACGAGAAAGGGGCCGGUAAUUAGAAUUCCCAGUUCCAUGCUCAAAUCGAAAAGAUAAUUGCAAACAAAACUCCCCUAGGAUUGAUGUUGGCAUGGACGGUACCGGAGGAUUCGGCUAGCCGUGGAGUGUGAUUGAUUGGUGGUGGGGGAGUCAAAACUUUACUUUUCUGUUUGGGAACCGCCUAUAGCAUGUGUAGCGUGGAAGAUGUUGAGAACUCUUAGUCAUUGCGUUGACAAUGAAAGCAAGCCACCCAAAAUUAUUAUCUCUGUUUUAAAAGCUUGAGCUCUGGCACCUCUGCAAAUCAAUGCUUCCCUCUGCGAAGGGCCUGUCUAUUUAUGUUCCCAUUGAGUCAUCCUCCUCUUAUAAAAAGCACCAAUUAGAGAGCACCUCUGUCAUUUUUAUGCUUUGCUUUUAACUGUGUUGAGUAUGACUAUGACUGGAUCUUCAUUGCCUUGAAUUACAAUUUUUAGUCUGCCCUUAGUCUUUUAAGGUGCUCUGCAUUUAUGUUUUGCGGUCUCAGAAAGAGCUAGCGAGAUACCAUCUAUUCGUACUGCUUCAUGUUGUUUUGAUUGAAGUGUUGACAUUUGAGGCUUGUUAUUAUUUGCUCGCUAGCUGAUUAUGCCAUUGAUAUGAGUUUGCUGUGAGACCUAGAUGUCAUUUGCUUAUGUGGUUUGCUUGUGAUGUUGCUCAAAUUCUGGUUGUGAGUUAGACAUAGUUGCAACAACAAGAUCAAACAGAGUUCGUCAAAGUUUUUCUUUUGUCUCUCUCAGUUUGUCAACUGGGUUGCUUGAGGACAAGCAAGGCUUUAAGCUUGGGGGAGUUGAUACGUCUCCAUCCUAUCUACUUUUUCGAACACUUUUGCCCUUGUUUUGGACUCUAAUUUGCAUGAUUUGAAUGGAACUAACCCGAACUGACGCUGUUUUCAGCAGAAUUGCCAUGGUGUUGUUUUUCUGCAGAAAUGGAAGUUCUCGAAAUGUGCUGAAAAUUUACAGAGGUUUUUUCUGGAAUAAAAGAAAAAUACCUGCGCAAAGAUCCACCGAAGGUGGCGUGCUAAUGGGCCACAAGCCCACAGGCCCCGGCCACCCCCCCAUGRCCGCGCCGUGAGGGCUUGUGGGGCCCACGUGGCACCACCGCCCCCCAAUCUCAGCUCUAUAUCUUCCGUUUCGCCUGAAAAAAAUCAGAGAGAAGGUUUCAUCACGUUUUGCGAUACGGAGGCGCCGCCACAUCAUGUUCUUUAUCUGGAGGGCAGAUCUAGAGUCCGUUUCGGGCUCCGGAGAGGGGAAAUCGUCGCCAUCGUCAUCAUCAACCUUUCUCCAUCGACAAUUCCAUGAUGCUCUUCAUCGUUCGUGAGUAAUCUCAUCGUAGGCUUGCUGGACGGUGAUGAGUUGGAUGAGAUCUAUCAUGUAAUCGAGUUAGUUCUUGACGGGAAUUGAUCCCUAGUAUCCACUAUGUUCUAGAUUGAUGUUGCUACUGCUUGGCUAUGCUUAAUGCUUGUCACUAGGGCCCGAGUGCCAUGAUUUCAGAUCUGAACCUAUUAUGUUGUCGCCAAUAUAUGUGUGUUUUAGAUCCUAUCUUGCAAGUUGUAGUCACCUACUAUGUGUUAUGACCCGGCAACCCCGGAGUGACAAUAGCCGGAACCACUCCCGCAGAUGACCAUAGUAUGAGGAGUUCAUGUAUUCACCACGUGUUAAUGCGUUGGUCCGGUUCUUUAUUAAAAGGAGAACCUUAAUAUCCCGUAGUUUCCAUUAGGACCCCACUGCCACGGGAGGGAUGGACAAUAGAUGUCAUGCAAGUUCUUUUCCCUAAGCACGUAUGACUACAUACAGAAUACAUGCCUACAUUAGAUUGACGAACGGGAGCUGGUUACAUAUCUCUUCGUGUUAUAGCUGUUACAUGAUGAAUCACAUCCGGCACACUCAUCCAUCACCGAUCCACUGCCUACGAUUCUUUUACUACUGGUCCUUGCUAUGUUACUUUGCUGCUAAUGCUGUCGCUACUGUUGUUACUCUGUUGUUACUACUGCUGCUGCUACUGCUGUCACUAUUGCUGUUCCUUGCUACUAUUCUCACUACUGCUGUUACUUUGUUGUUACUUGUUGCAAGACUUUUCUGGAGCCGUUGCCGGGGAAGAAUAGUUCCCCGUCCACGUGCUAGUUACUAGCGCCAUUGAUACAACAGUUAGGAAUAGUCUGCCAUCAACAGAUCUUUUUCUGACACCGUUGCUAUCAUACUACUUUGCUACUGAUACUUUGCUUGCACACACUUAUCUUUCAGGUGUGGCUGAAACUGACAAACUCAGCUGCUAAUACUUGAGAAUAUUCUUUUGCUUCCCUUUGUGUCGGAUCAGUAAAUUUGGGUUGAAUACUCUACCCUCGAAAACUGUUGCGUUCCCCUACACUUGUGGGUUAUCACCCCACAAAGAACUCUCAUGAAGACCAUGGGUUAGUACACAAAGCGUAAUGGACAAUGUUUAUCAUACAAUGGGAUCACUUGAUCCCUCUCGGUACAUCUUGUAUGCUUUUUGUGUUGAUCAACUUGAUUCACUCUUUGACUUAAUCUUCAUCAACCUUGUGUCUCUAUGACCAAUCUUUGGAUAAAAUCUUGAAUACCACCUUCAUCAUCAUAUAAACUCCUUGAAAUCAACAGAUGGAGAGAAGUGCCUGUAGACAAAUCCUUUGAAUAUAACUCAAGGUAACCAUUAGUCCAUAUGGAUUGUCAUUAGUUAGAAGAACACAUAUGGUUGUUGGACUCUUGUGUGCGAGCCCCCCCCCCCCUCCUCCACCCCCGAUUUGCGGGAAAAGGGACAUUCAGGCGGGCCCGCGAACGGAUACAUGCCCACAUUGAAUGAGAAAAUACGUUGGAACGACACAGUUCGAAUCGUUGCCACGUUCUAAUGGCCCGUAUUGUAGAUGCCACAUAAACAGUUGUUUGCCCAAAGCGCCGUGCGGACACAUGUGUUUGUACCAACCCUCCUUUCCUGUAUAGAUGUUUGUCCAUGUGAACAGACAUACAGUACUAUAUUUGCAUGUGUCUGUACCAAACCUCCUUUCCUGUAUAUUUCCUCCGUUCCUAAAUAUUUGUCUUUCUAAAGAUUUCACUACGGGCUACAUAAGGAUGUAUAUAGACAUAAUUUAAAAUGUAAGUUCAUUCAUUUUACUUCGUAUGUAGUCCAUAUAGUUGAAUCUUUAAAAAGACAAAUAUUUAAGAAUGGAGGGAGUAGAUGUCUGUCCAUGUGGGCAGACAUACUGUAUUUCCACAGGAAACUGACUUUGCCAACAGUUGUUUUCCUAGUAACACUAUCUCCAACAGGCAGUUAACCCUGCAUAAAUACCCAGUUUUAUGACAUAGUCUAGUUCACUUCAUUCGAUUUACUUACACUUACGAAGUUACCGCAGUGGUAACUACCCCACUACUGGUCAACAAUGCUGCAAGGCAAGAUGACCAUCAGAGACUCUUGAGUAUAAUUUGCGCUCCAUGUUGAGGAUGUAGUGUGAUGACUGUGUACGGCGCAUGCGUGUACGAAGGCGAGAGCUGGAACUCGAAACGCUGAAGGAUCAUGCUCAGCGCCAUCUUAGCUUCCAGCAUCGCGAAGUUCUGGCCGAUGCAAAUCCUCGGUCCCCAACCGAAUGGGAAGAAGACCGGCUGGUCCUUGGUUGCCUUGGAGAUCCCCUCCGCAAACCUCUCCGGCUUGAACUCCAAUACGUCUUCCCCCCAUACAUCUGGGUUGUGGUGAACCAAGAUUAUUGGCAGCUCCAGCAUUACACCCGCAGGGUAGGUGAUGCCUCCAAUCUGCAUCUGUCUGGAUGUCUUCCGGUUCAGCGUGACCGCCGGUGGGUACAACCUAAGCACCUCGUACAGUAUCAUCGUCACCUGGACAAGGAAAUUGGAGAUAAAGCAUUGUCAGCAAUUAGUUCUCCAUGGUAUUUAGGCACAACUUAAAGUACAGCACGUGAUGCAACGUCGGCAAUAACGUUAGAGACACUUGCCGUUUUGAGUCGACCCAGGCCGUCGAAGUUAGGUUUGUCCUUGCCGAAUACGCUGAGGACUUCUUCCCUGGCCCGAUCCUGCCACUCGGGGUGCAUUCCCAGGACGACCAGCGUCCACGUGAGCAACACGGACGUGGUCUCCAUCCCCGCGAAGUAGAAGAGCUUGCACUCCUCGAUCACAUCCUCGGUACUCAUCCUCAUCCUUGACGGCCCACUCUCCUUGUUCGACUGCAGCAUCAAGCCUAGCAAGUCGUUGCCGCUAAGCCCAUCCAUCUCCAUCGCGCGCUCCCGCUUCUCGAUGAUGCCUCUCAGGAGCCCUUCGAUCUCUUGGUUGAUCUGCUUCAUCCUCUUGUUGUUUUCAGUUGGAAAAAACCUGAAAAUUAAAAGACUAGCCGCAUCAUUCAUGCUUACAAGGAAAUUUUUUUACUGUAUACUCCCUACUUCAGAAAGAAAAGGACUAUGUCAACAGUAAUUGGUAGUGGUACAGGAAGAGUGCUUACAGGUAGCCUGGGAUGUACAUAUACUGGAAGGCCUUGAUAAUUCGCUCUGCUUGCUCUGCCUGAAGCUGGAAGAUCCUUCGCCCUUCCAUGAAGCUGCUGCCGAACGACGUGCGGGAGAUGACGUCUCCGGUGAGGUUCUGGAAAUCCUGCCAUAUGUCUACUUCAUGCGAUCCAUCAGAACCCGCUAGUUUGCUUUCCCAGCUGCUUAUCAACUCGGUGCAGCAUGUCGAAAAAGCCGGCAACAUGCUCUGUAAACAGCUUCAGUUAGCGCGCGCGCAGGAACACCCUGAUCGGGUUAGGAGCUACUCCUACUCAGUAAGGAAGAAUAGUAAGUACUACCUUGAGCUUUUCGAGAUGGAAAGCGGGGUUCAAGAUCCUCCUGUGCAUCGCCCAUUUCUCACCGUCGUAGCUGGCAAGCCCAAGGGCUAUCAGUUUUCCCAGACGUUUGUUCGUGAAUUUUUCGAAAUGGCCGGACUUGUCUAACAGGAUCUCUCGCACUAGCUUUGGCUCCGCGAUGACCACCCUUAGGGUUGGUCCGAACCAGGUGAUGCAAACGUUACCUACAUGCAGUUCAAAAUUGAUUGACGUCAGAAUUUUUUGGCCAACAUGUUUUCUCUUUGUUGUUGUUGCGAAAAUUGGAGAUAAGAAUGAAGUAGAGACAGCAAUAAUGUCUUGUUUCAAGUGCUACCCUUUUAGGGAUCAAGUCAUCGGAAGAAAAAUGGGUCACUAUAAGUUUGCCCGUAAAAGAACAUAUAGCAAUACUAACAUAGAUAUUUUAGUACACUGUAACAUCAAUUUUCAUGCCUGGAAAACUGGACAAAAAGACAUAUUCGGCAAGAGAGAAAUUCAACUAGAGGAACAACAAAAUUACCCUACCCGUGUUCCUUGAUGGUGUUGAGGAGGUGCGGCGCCACACGGGGCACAAUGUCGUGGCACGGCGGCAUGGGCUUGGACCGAGCCUCCUCGUUGAGCCGUCCGUUCUCUGCGAGGUCCCCGGCGGGAAAUCGGUACGCCGUGCCGCCGAGGCCCUGCGCCCGGAGCGCCCGGCUGAGCCGCCGUGGCCUCAGCCAGCAUGUCUCAGCGGCCCGGGAGACCGCCCACAGCAAGACGAGCAGCGAAGCGAGGCCGCAGAGCAAGCUCAACGGUGAAGGAGAAGACACA